UUUUUUUUUGUUUUUUGGUUUGUAAUUUUAUUUGAGCACAAGUCUGUAUCAAUUGAUAAGACUCGGAGACAUUUCAUUUGGAUUGCUGUGCCAGGCCUACAAAUAUGCCAAUCGGGCUGAAUGUGCAUUCAACAAUAGUAGUAGUAUAGAUGGACCAUAAGUGGCACGCAUUGGAAAGGGCCAAGAUGCUGGCUAAAAAAAGGAUGUUGUUGUAGCCAAAAAAAGUACAGCGACCUGGCUUAUGUAUGUUAGUUGAUAUUAUUGAUCCAUAUACUCUAUAAGUGUUUAUAUGUCUGUUAGUUUUGUACAUUCUUGGUUGAUUGACUCGGUAUUUGAAUCUUGAUACAUCGCUUGUGUACAUAUCUAAAUGGGAGUACACAUUAUGCUGCGUGUGACAUUUGAGUUGGACAUGAAGUGUUCCAAAUAUUCGAAUUCACCUUAAACUAGAUUCUAGUUUCUGAAUUUGAGUAUCGGCAUUUGUAAACCAUAUUCAUAUAUGAUAGUGGAAUACAUCUUUGUCGUCCUUUUGAAGAUAUAUAAAAACACAUAGAAUGAUUUAUAAAGAUUCAUAUAGGAAUACAAAAUGGAUUCGAAUUUAGUUGCCAGGGUAAACGUGGAUGCUUAUUGUCCCAAAAUUCGAAAGAAGCAGCAAAAUGUCCACUCCCACGUCGGCUGCCCGAAGCCAAGUGUUUGGGAGAUGGAAAUUACUGUCUACCCAUUACACGGACAAUCCAUUGGCCCGAUUUCCACUGCUCUAAAUAGGGGAAGGUUAGUAACUUCAAUUAGACGUGACACGACCGCCUCUGAGCCCAUUCCGACACGGUGGGCGUCAAACAUGGGCGGCAAAACUCAUUUGACUCAAGCUCGUCCGAAAGACCUCUGUUUCUCCCUCCAUUCCCCAUUCAUACACGGUGGGCAGCAAAACAAACUCAACUCGGCCGAAAUUGAUGUAGGCAAAUAUUUUCAAUAGGGGCAGGUUUGUAACUUCACUCAGACGUGACACAACCGCCCUACCUGUCAGCCCCGUUCAUACAUGUGGGCGCCAACCAUGGGCGCCAACCACCCUCUCCUCGCCUAAAAUCCCUCUGGGCAAAUAUUGGCGAGAUGCGAGAUUACCGUCCUAUCCCCAACCGACGAGACGUCCAAAUUUUAAACGGGGGCUAAGUUCGUAACUUUCCCAUAUUUCAGACAGGCGCGUCCCAAAAACAUGGUUCCCCGUACCUCUCCCUCCAUUUUCCCAUUCAUUCUCCCCACACCAGCCUCCGUCCGCCACCCCAUCCAUCGCCGCCGUCCUCCACCACAUCCAUCGCCACCGUCCUCCACCAUGCCGGAGCACCUACCAAGACCGCGUCGUCCACUGCUAGAGAUGGACAUUUCUCAUCCACGGCGACGGACCAAUAGCCUUGCAUCGCGUCCUCUCGCUUCAUUGGCGCCGUCGUCCUCUUUGCCGGGGCCGCUCACACGACCUUCUCUUCCACCGCAACGGGACUUAUCCCCCGAUGCACCCGUCUACCGUCGCAGAUCUGCUUCAACGCCACCGACAGCCAUCGCACCCCCGAUGCCUACAUGGUGCCGCAAGAGAGGUGGUACUUCAUAUCUCCUCAACUUUUUGAUCUCAACCAGAAAAUAGAUCUUAACUUGGUUACUCUACUUUCUUUUCAGCUCUUAGAAUUUAGUUCUUAGUUCGAAGCAAACAAUGGAUGCUAAAUAUCAUUUCUCCGGUUUGCAGCUUCAAAUCUGCCAUGGCACAGCCAUAAUACGGUUUAAUUGAUCAUGCUUAGGGUUUAAUUGAUCAUGUUGGUUCCGUGGUGGUUUCUUUAAAAUAAAUCGGAGGGGAAACCCUCUUUUGCUAAAAAAAAUGCUUAGAGUUUCCCCCUUUUAUGAUCACUAUACGAUCAGAAUACGUGCUUCGUGUCAUAAUAACACUGCUCCACCCAUCAAGCUAAACAAGCUUAAUUGUUCAAAUACGAAUCUGAUAUUAUUAAAACAGAGUUGUUUAAUUGGUCAGCUAAAUGUUCCUAAAUUAGUUUCGAAAAUGCAUGUUCGCCGCUCGGGUGUGUAUCUCUACAGGGUGCCCACGGUGGGCCGGCCCACCCUGGGAUUUUGGGUCGUCCCAGGCCCCGAUUCCCCUCUGUUCUGCUGCGCGCUUCCGAUCUCUACUCGCCCCCAGCCGCCUGCCUCGCCGGCGACUUGCCGUCCCUGGACGGCAUGACUCUAGGAGGAGACGCCAGACUAACAGGAGGCCAGGAGCCGCUCGCCCAACAGCGUCACCGCUGCCCGGGCGCACCGCCGUGCCUACCUUCCCAGUCCGUUCAGGGCUCAGGCGUGCAGCACACACCAAGCCAACCCGAUUUAUCCUAAGAUACGUCCUCAACACUCAGCAGCCACUCCUCAUCACCCAUUUUCUAAUUGAUUCAUUACUCAUUAGGCAGGACUGUCAUUAGGGUUUGUUGUGUGCUCAGUGCUACCUACACUUAAUGGUUCAGAUGUAUUUCGGUAAUCUUUAGUACCUCUAAAGUUCACAGGGUUUUCAAAAUUCCGGCCCUCGGAACAGAAACUAGUCAUUUUGGAUUGUUGGUCGUAGUGACAUUGACCCAGAUUACUACUGCAAGCCAGGUUUGUUGACAAUUUUACUUGUCUUUCUUACUCAUUCGAUAUAAUAUCCAAUUAUUCACGUCGAUUAGUUGAAAACAAUAAGUGCUAGACAAACUUCUUUAUUCAGAUUUUGGAUGGUCUCUUACUGCAGUUACAAUUCUGCAUACUUGUCCUAGUAAGCUCACAAGUAAACGAUUGAUUCACUACAUCUAUGCUUGCCUUGUCAUAUUUGUUGUCAAUAUUCUUUUAGGGUGGACCACCCUGUUUCUAAAUACUGGAACCGUAGACAUGAGGGAAUAGUAUUUCUCUAUGUGAUCUCUUCCAUCAUGUGUGGGUAACGAACACUGCAUUGUAUAGAAAGAAAGUGUCAUUUCUAGCUUUUACAUAGGUUUCGAUCUUUUAAAUGGAAUACAAUCUGCCUACUUGCUUUGUGUCACACUACCAACACUCCACCCUUGAAGCUAAACAUUACGCCACUCAUAAUUGCUUAGUUUAUUUGUUCAAAUACGAAUUUCAUAUGAUUCUAAUGUUCCUACUUCAGUUUUGAAAUGUGUGCCUGCCUGUUAUAGAGACAUAAAGGGUUUGUAUUUCUGUGUGUGGUCUGGUCAGCACGGUUGGGGAGGUGAACUUUGCAUAUGCAGGGGUUUAUAGGGAGACACUCUCCGAGUUGAAUCCGCAAUGCAUUCCAUAGAUAAUCUGACUACUUUUUAUGUUUUCAUGAAUCUCAGAUUCUGAACAGCAUCAUAAUAAUUAUGAGCUUGCGCGCAUGAAAAGAAUAAACCAGAACAAUGCCAUGGCUGUCAAACUUGGCAUUAAGGGACUGAAAUCAAGUCUGGAUGCAAUGCAAUGCAAACGCUCUCCACCUACAGAUUCAUGCUCAGAAUAUGAUCCUAACAGUGAUUCUGAGCUAGAGGGAGACCUAAGUCAAUGUAGCUCCCUAGUGGAGGAGUCAGAGGAAGAUGCCCUAUCUUAUUCACCCAUCAAGGUACUUGCUCUAACUUUCCAAGGUUACAUUACUCGCACAUAUCUUGCAACUGAUGCUUUGCAUUGCUUCUACUUUGUUGAACUGCCAUUAGCUUAGUUUACACAUCGUGUAUGUGAAUACGCCCUGCCUAUCCAUUUUCAGUACAUAUUCCAUCUGUCAUCAUACCAUAUUUAUCCAUUCAAAUGUUGUUCUUGUGUAUCAGACGUUCAAAAGGAAGAGGGCGAUUGCUGAUCGUGGAGGAGCACAAGCAAAGUAUUUGGAAAAGGUAGUGGCACCUGAUAAAUCAAAUAGCCCAUUAGGUGUAGUUGCAAUAUCACCUGACCCACAAAAUACCCCAACUCUAGCAGACUCUAGCCCUACUACACUGGUCAUUUCUGAUGCCCCAACUCAGCAGACCCCAACUGCAGCAAACAGUAUGAUUAUGCCAGUUGACAUAGCACCAGCUGUACGACGCAAAACCCCCAUUCCAGCAAAGAGUACACCAAAUCCAGUUGCCAAAUCCCUUUUCGAACCAGAGAGAGCCCCAAUUGCAGCAAAUAGACCCCUGUUCCAUUUCUUCCCAGUUUAGAAGACGAAGCUUAUGUUGUUGUCAGGAACUUUGUGCGCAUCUUUCCUUCAUGGAAAGAUUAUACCGUAGACACGGAACAAUUUCCAGUCUUCCUCCGCAACUUAUGCGUAAGUAAUGUACUAAUGUUAUUCAUGGUCAUUACUGCAUAUGUUUCUGCUGACAGAAGACACAAGAUUUCAUUCUUUUAAAUAGGCGAGGAGCAAACUGGAUUGUGAUGAUGAGCAGGGGUUGGUUGCGCUUUUCAAGCACUCGUUGAUGAAGUAUCAUUCCUACCUGAGGCAAGCGCACUUCGAUGGCAAGCCUCUGAAUGAAAUUUCUGUAAAGUCUCCGGUGCUACAUUUAUCCGACGGUGACUGGAAUAAUCUUGUUACACAUUGGUCUCGGCUACAGCGUAAGGUACUGUCUAUGAUAUCACAUCACAAUUUGAACUACAUUUCUGCAUUUGCCUUAAUGUCUCACUUGUACGAAAACUGUUAGUAGAAGAACAUUCGUUCUCAAGGGACCACAGAAUCUCGCAACUAUACUGCACACUGCAUUGCUCUUGUGAGUACCUCUUGCCAUGUAUGACCAUACUUACUUUCAUAGCUGUUUGAUUAUGUAGCAUCACUGCACAUGUUAGCCUCGUAAUCGUCCAUUUGGUGGACAUUAUAAGAUCCGUAUGGACUCUUACAUAAAUUUAGAAUCAACCCAAUGCUUUUGAAGAGGUUUAGCUCUGCAAUUCUCUUGUAAGGACUGAACGUGGUCUAUCACUGUACUUACAUUAACAACUACUCCCUCCGUCCCAUAAUAUAAGAACGUUUUGUACAGUACACCAGUGUUCAAAACACUCUUGUAUUAUGGGAAGAGGGAUUGGUUCAUUUUGUAGCAUUCUGCAUCUUAUCUCCCUCGCCCACCAUUUACUAAAAAAGAUCAGAUCUAUAUUUAAUCUUACCAACAAGUAGUACACACACAAUGCCAGUGCAGAAGUGUAGCCCAUUGCUCUUGUCAGUACAUUUUGUCCUGUAACGCUUGUACUUCCAGGGAUUGGUAGUUGAUUAUGUAGCAUCAAUCUGCAUCUUAUCUUCAUUAUCCUCUAUCCCUUCCAGUAUUAUCAUAUCUAUAAUUACUCUCUACAAAAUGUAGAGUACAGGCAAUGCUUAUGAAGAAGAUUCUGUGCUGAAAUUCUUGAGUUAUCCUUCCCUUGACAUGGAGAAGGGCAUUAUAAAGCCAGUGUUAACUGUUAAUGUAAGUCGGUCCUUCUAAAGCCUUUAUCCUCAACUGUUGUUUAAUUUGCUCAUACUCCCUAUCGUUUACUGCUGUUUAGUUUGCUGUUUCUACCAAAAUGCAUGUUCGUAAGAACCGUAAGUUCUAAGUUUUACUUGUAAAACCAAAUUCCUUAUUCAUACCAUGCACAUUACUUAAUACUCCCUAUAUGUAUGCUUGUUUUUGUGGAUCUAUAAUCCAGUGUGUGGUGAAGCAGCCCACGUUUGCACCUUGUCAUCUCCUGUUUUAUCUUACUGAUGUGGCUGAUGAUAUGAACAACAUGCCAUGCACAUUAUCCAAAAUAGAUACAAUGAUUUUCUUUGCCCUUCAUCUAUGCUUGUUAUGUUGACAUGGUAAUCCAGUAGUGUGGUGAAGCUCCCUGCAUUAUGAACAAUGCCAAAUUAUGCUAUUGAUAUUUUGAACUUACUCUUUAUUUUCUAAUUUGAAAUUGGAUAGAAUUGACAGAACAGUUAUCAUCUUUGUUUAUACACGUGCAAAACCUGUCGUCUCUUUGCUUUGUUUCAGGGUGAUAUGCCUGAUGGCAUGCACAAGUCUGCUGAAGGCUAUGAGACAAACCCAACAUGUAUUGCACCAAAGAAGGCAAAACAUCUUGAAUAUAGCGAGACAACCCCAAAGUCUUGUCUUGAUGCAGUGUCCAACUUACUUGAGACUAACAGUCAGACAAGCUCACAAAAUUCGUUGUCUGAAUCAGUUCGACUUCUUCAGUCCCAAGUUCUAGCAGAAAGGCAUUCUGCAACUCAACUUCGACUUGAAGUCCUAUCUCUAAGAAAGAUUGCGGAGAACACCAAUGAGAACCUCAUCGCUAAACAGCUACACCUGGAAGCUAUGACCGACAUGCUAGGCCGGUCUCACAGCCUUGCUCAGCAGCUUGCGCAGCAGUUCCCCCGCAAGGCUAACCUUUCUUGAACUGUCUUGGAAGUGGUCUCGGUUCAGUAUUAUUUUGUUACGCUGCAAUGGUGCCAAGUUUUUGUAAUCUGCUUCUUCGUUGCGCUUUAUGAUCACUGGUGGCGAACUUUGAUGCCCAGUGGAUGUAAUAUGUGUAAUAGCCGUGAUAGCCUAGCAUAAGUUGCUUGCUUAUUUAUUUCCUUGUUGUCUUGUUUAUUUGUUUGCUUGUAGUCAGUGCAGUUCUUUUUCCGCGGUUUGCUAGUGGCUGCAAUAACCUAUUUUUUAAAACUAGGCCACAAUAACCAUGGGCUAAUAUUUACUGUAGUGACACUGGGCCUCCUACGGGCCGUAGAAACAGUGGGCCUUCUACGGGCCGUAGAAACAGUAGGCCUUCUACGGGCCGUAGAAACAAUGGGCCUUCUACGGGCCGUAUCAUCAAUGGGCCUUAUACGGGCCGUAUGAUCGAUUGGCCAAACAUGGGCCAAUAACAGGCCGCAUUAUGGCCGUAAACGGGCUAGAGUUGGAAUCGUCCGUUCAUGGGCCGACCAUAACGGACCAUCGUUAAUAGACCGUAUUUGAUGACGCUAUGAAAAUGGCCCAACGUAUUAACGGACCACAAACGGGCCGACUGUAACCACGGGCUGAAUUUGGCCCACAAGUAGAAAAUGACAGUAACGGGCCAUAAGUAAACGAAUGCUGGAAAUGAGCCCAAGAAUAAAUGGGCUCUGAGAAGGCCGAAAGAUAACAUGGGCUGGAAACGGCCCAACAGAAUAACGGGCCGUUAAUGGGUAUAAAGUGAUACACUGUUCAUUACGGGCCAGUUUCACCACGGGCCGUUAAUGGGUGUAAAGUGAUACACUGUUCAUUACGGGCCAGUUUCACCACGGGCCGUUAAUAGGCCAAGAGUUACAUAGGGCCUCAUAUGGGCCGAAAGACGUCAUGGGCCAUACAUGGGCCAGAAGUGAAAACGGGCUGGAAUCAUAUUGGAUGGCCCAGAUGACACUACUGGGCCUAAUUCGGAUAGGGCGUAACGGGCCUUGGGUUAGCGGGCUGUAAAUGGGCUAUAUGCGAACAGGCCGUUAACAGGCUUUCCAUGGGCCGGCUCGCCACCUUUUGACCAAGUCAAACGGGUCGGCCUUUUCACAGGAAUGGGCCUCUGUUGGGCCGUGCCACGUGUCGACGUAUCAUAGGCGCCUUCUGUCCAAUGAGUGGAUGACAUCUGUCCCAACGAUGAGCCGACACGUGUUUCCUCCAGCCAAUGAUGAUUUUACACGUGGAAAAUCCCCAUUGGUCGGGGCUGUUAAUGGGUUAUAGGAUCCAAAACCCGACCCGAUAGCUUAACGGCGUUCCAUUAUGGUGGAUGCCACGUGUCGGUCACCCUUGACGAAAGCACUUCUGUGACGCGCGAUUUAUCGUCAUGGAAGUGGACACUUCCGUGAUGAUAAUUUUGGUAAUGUCAUGGAACACUUAUACGACAGCACAGGUAUGACUAUCUUGAUUCUGUCAUAAAUUUGUCAUGGAUGUACAUGCAUGACAAAAAACGCGACCUAUUGUGACAAACACGUAUCAUCACGGAAGUGUAUUUUUUUGUAGUGUUAGUAUCUGCAGCAAAGUAUUUAGUAGCAAAGUAAUAUGGGAGUAACGGUAACGGUAGCAAAAGUAGUAUUUUUGGGUUUUGUAAUGAUUGUAACAGUAGCAACGGAAAAGUAAAUAAGCGAAGAACAAUAUGUGAAAAGCUCGUAGGCAUUGGAUCGGUGAUGGAGAAUUAUGCCGGAUGCGGUUCAUCAUGUAACAGUCAUAACAUAGGGUGACACAGAACUAGCUCCAAUUCAUCAAUGUAAUGUAGGCAUGUAUUCUGAAUAUAGUCAUACGUGCUUAUGGAAAAGAACUUGCAUGACAUCUUUUGUCCUACCCUCCCGUGGCAGCGGGGUCCUAAUGGAAACUAAGGGAUAUUAAGGCCUCCUUUUAAUAGAGUACCGGAACAAAGCAUUAGCACAUGGUGAAUACAUGAACUCCUCAAACUAUGGUCAUCACCGGGAGUGGUCCCGAUUAUUGUCACUUCGGGGUUGCCGGAUCAUAACACAUAGUAGGUGACUAUAGACUUGCAAGAUAGGAUCAAGGACUCAAAUAUAUUGAUGAAAACAUAAUAGGUUCAGAUCUGAAAUCAUGGCACUCAGGCCCUAGUGACAAGCAUUAAGCAUAGCAAAGUCAUAGCAACAUCAAUCUCAGAACAUAGUGGAUACUAGGGAUCAAACCCUAACAAAACUAACUCGAUUACAUGAUAGAUCUCAUCCAACCCAUCACCGUCCAGCAAGCCUACGAUGGAAUUACUCACGCACGGCGGUGAGCAUCAUGAAAUUGGUGAUGGAGGAUGGUUGAUGAUGACAACAGCGAUGGAUUCCCCUCUCCGGAGCCCCGAACGGACUCCAGAUCAGCCCUCCUGAGAGGUUUUAGGGCUUGGCGGCAGCUCCGUAUUGUAAAUCGCGAUGAAUUCUUCUCCUUGAUUUUUCUCUCCCCGAAAGUGAAUAUAUAGAGUUAGAGUUGAGGUCGGUGGAGCGUCAGGGGGCCCACGAGGCAGGGGGCGCGCCCUCCACCCUCGUGGACAGGGUGUGGGCCCCCUGACGUGGAUUUUUCUUCCGGUAUUUUCCUUAUUUUCCAAAUAGAUGUUCCGUGGAGUUUCAGGUCAUUCCGAGAACUUUUGUUUCUGCACAUAAAUAACACCAUGGAAAGUCUGCUGAAAACAGCGUCAGUCCGGGUUAGUUCCAUUCAAAUCAUGCAAGUUAGAGUCCAAAACAAGGGAAAAGUGUUUGGAAAAGUAGAUACGACGGAGACGUAUCAACUCCCCCAAGCUUAAACCUUUGCUUGUCCUCAAGCAAUUCAGUUGAUAAACUGAAAGUGAUAAAGAAAAACUUUUACAAACUCUGUUUGCUCUUGUUGUUGUAAAUAUGUAAAGCCAGCAUUCAAGUUUUCAGCAAAGAUUAUGACUAACCACAUUUGCAAUAACUCCUAGGUCUCAUGUUUACUCAUAUCAAUAACAUAAUCAACUAGCGAGCGAUAAUAAUAAAUCUCGGAUGAUAACACUUUCUCAAAACAAUCAUGAUAUGAUAUAACAGGAUGGUAUCUCGCUAGCCCUUUCUGAGACCGCUAAACAUAAAUCCAAAGCACCUUUAAAGAUCAAGGACUGACUGGACAUUGUAAUUCAUGGUAAAAGAGAUCCAGUCAUAGUCAUACCCAAUAUAAAUUAAUAGUAAUGGAUGCAAAUCACAGCAGCGCUCUCCAGCUAGUGCUUUUAAUAAGAGGGUGAUGACUCAACAUAAAAGAAAAUAGAUAGGCCCUUCGCAGAGGGAAGCAGGGAUUUGUAGAGGUGCCAGAGCUCGGUUUUGAAAUAGAGAUAAAUAAUAUUUUGAGCGGCAUACUUUCAUUGUCAACAUAACAACCAAGAGAUGGCGAUAUCUUCCAUGCUACACACAUUAUAGGUGGUUCCCAAACAGAAUGGUAAAGUUUAUACUCCCCCUCCACCAACAAGCAUCAAUCCAUGGCUUGCUCGAAACAAUGAGUGCCUCCAACUAGCUACAGUCCCAGGGGGAGUUUUGUUUGCAAUUAUUUUGAUUUAGUUUGCAUAAAGCAUGGGACUGGGCAUCCCGGUGACCAGCCAUUUUCUCGUGAGUGAGGAGCGGAGUCCACUCCUCUUGAGAAUAACCCGCCUAGCAUGGAAGAUACAGACAGCCCUAGUUGAUACAUGAGCUAUUCGAGCAUACAAAACAGAAUGUUUAUUUGAAGGUUUAGAGUUUGGCACGUACAAAUUUACUUGGAACGGCAGGUAGAUACCGCAUAUAGGAAGGUAUAGUGGACUCAUAUGGCAUAACUUUGGGGUUUAAGGGAUUGGAUGCACAAGCAGUAUUCCCGCUUAGUACAAGUGAAGGCUAGCAAAAGACUGGGAAGCGACCAACUAGAGAGCGACAACAGUCAUGAACAUGCAUUAAAAUUAAUAGACAUUGAGUACGAGCAUGAGUAGGAUAUAAUCCACCAUGAACAUAAAUAUCGUGAAGGCUAUGUUGAUUUGUUUCAACUACAUGUGUGAACAUGUGCCAAGUCGAGUCACUUAAAUCAUUCAAAGGAGGAUACCACCCCACUAUACCACAUCACAACCAUUUUAAUAGCAUGUUGGCAUGCAAGGUAAACCAUUAUAACUCAUAGCUAGUCAAGCAUGGCAUAAGCACUAUGAUCUCUAAUUGUCAUUGCAAACAUGUUUAUUCAUAAUAGGCUGAAUCAGGAACGAUGAACUCAUCAUAUUUACAAAAACAAGAGAGGUCGAGUUCAUACCAACUUCUCUCAUCUCAGUCAGUCCAUCAUAUAUCGUCAUAAUUGCCUUUCACUUGCACGACCGGACGAUGUAAAAAUAAUAAGAGUGCACGUGCAUUGGACUAAGCUGGAAUCUGCGAGCAUUCAAUAAACAGGAGAAGACAAGGCAAUAUGGGCUCUUGGUUAAAUCAACAAUAAUGCAUAUAAGAGCCACUUCAACAAUUUAAUUAUGGUCUUCUCCUAUCGACCCCCCAAAGAAAAGAAAAUAAAUAAAACUAUUUACACGGGAAAUCUCCCAACAAACAAAAGAAGAACGGGAAAUAUUUUUGGGUUUUCUUUUUAAUUAUCACUACUACAGCAAGAAAAGUAAACUAACUAAAGCUACACUAAUUUUUUUUUGUUCUUCUUAAGGUCUAACAAACACACAAGAAGAAAGCAAGAAAAAUAAAAUAAACUAGCAUGGAUAUCACAGUAAAAAAGUAUGAGCACCGACAUCUAGCAAUGAGUGUGUGAACAUAAAUGUAAUGUCGGUGAGAGAUGCGUACUCCCCCAAGCUUAGGCUUUUGGCCUAAGUUGGUUUAUUGCCACGGAUGGCCCGGCGGACAUCCAGAGUUGUAGCUGGGGUCGUACUGAGAUGAAGAAGACUAUGACUGCCACUGGUUGGCAAUCAUAUCCGGAUCCCACUGGUAGUUAGACUGUCGUGGAGGUUCAAAUUGUGGUUCCGGCUCGGUGGCUGGUGUAGGGUUCCGGUAGGCGUGAAUGGCCGCCAACGGAACAAGAUACGGACCUUCAGAUAAAUUAAACAAGGAGGGAGCAGGCAAGGUAAUAGUCUCAGGGUGAUGUUUAUCAAAGAACAAUUUGUAUUUAAGCGCUCCUUCCCUAUUCUUAACAAUAAAGUCAUGUGCUACCAUACUCUUAUAAUCUAAAUAAGCAUUGGGCAGCAAUUUUUCAUCUUUUUCAUAGUGCCUAAUAGGUAUGUUAUAAUGUGCAGCAAGGCGUGAAGCAUAAAUACCUCCAAAGAUGGGGCCCUUUGUACGGUUCAAGCUUAACCGUUUAGCAAUAAUACCACCCAUACUAACAGUGUUAUCGCAGAAUAAACCAUGGAACAAAAUGAUAAUAUCAGGAACACUAAGGUUUCCACAGUUUCCGCGACCAAUUAAGCAACGACUAGCAAAUAUGGCAAGGUAGCGUAAAACAGGAAAAUGUAUGCUAGUGAUUCUUGCAUCGGAAACCUUCCUAGUUUCCCCCACAGUAAUAGUAUCAAUAAAUCCGUCCACAUCUUUACGAUGUGGUUCCUCUAAACUACCCUCAAAAGGUAUUUUGCAAACCUUGCAAAAUUCAUCUAGUGGCAUCUUCUUAACAACAUCAUAUAAAUGAAACUCUACUGAAGGAGGUGAUUCCUUAGGAAAAUAGUAGAAGUUUUGCACAAAAGUAUUGGUGAGUAAGAGAUACUGAUUGCGUUGGUCGCGGAGGAAGUCGGUGAGGCCUGCAUUCUCAGCCAAUUCAUAAAAAUCAUCAUAAAUCCCGGCUUCUCUCAAGAAAUCAUUGGAAGGCCAUUCACACGGCCGGACCUCCGCGGUGCGAGGCAAAUUAUAUUUGGGCCUCUGUGCUUCUUCACUUUGCUUUUCCUUCAAGCUUCGGCUCGAUGAUCCCCUCAAAAAUCUCUUCAUUAUUUUCUGAAAAAUUCUCAAAAAAAAUUAGUAACUUCAAAAUAAAAGUGAACCAAGCUCAACAAAAUUAAUAGCAACUACUCCUACAAGUGCCUAGAGCCUAUAUCAUGCAUUAGAACUACUUGGAACCAUAUAAAUUUGACAUGCAAGCUCAAGAACAUGGUCACCUAGGCAGCACAAAUUUGCAAUGAAUAAAGCACUAGAACAAAAACUAAUUGGACCAAUGGAGGAGUCGCAUACCAAGGAACAAUCUCCCCAAGCAGUUUUGUGAGAGGUGCUUUGAGCAAGGAGAUCGAAAAUCGCAGCAAAAUGAGCUAGAACUCGUGCUUGAGCUGGAUGGUGAUUUUUUUGGGAGGAAGAAGAAGUGUGUGGGUGCAGGAAUAAGUGGAGGGGAGCCACCAUGGGCCCACGAGGCAGGGGGCGCGCCCAGGGGGUAGGGCGCGCCCUCCACCCUCGUGGCCAGGUGCUUGCCCCUCCUGCUGUGUUCUCAGUGCCAGAUAUUCUCAAAUAUUCCAGAAAAAUCAUAUUUCAUUUUCAGGGCAUUUGGAGAACUUUUAUUUUUGGGGUAUUUUUAUAUUGCACGGAUAAAUCAGAAAACAGACAGAAAAAUACUAUUUCUACUUUAUUUCAACUAAAUAACAGAAAGUAGAAAGAGGGUACAGAAGGUUGUGCCUUCUAGUUUCAUCCAUCUCAUGCUCAUCAAAAGGAAUCCACUAAAAAGGUUGAUCAGGUCCUGUUAACAAACUCAUUCCGACUAACAUGGAACCGGAGAAAUUUCGAAUAACACUAUUUUACCUCAACGGGGAUAUGCACAUCCCCAAUAAUAAGAAUAUCAUAUUUCUUCUUGACAGUAGGUAGAGGAAAUUCAAAACCUCCAAAAACAAUCGAUGGAAUUCUUCCAAUAGAAUUGAUACUGUGGACUUGAGGUUGUUUCCUUGGAAAGUGUACCGUAUGCUCAUUACCAUUAACAUGAAAAGUGACAUUGCCUUUGUUGCAAUCCAUAACAGCCCCUGCAGUAUUCAAAAAGGGUCUUCCAAGAAUAAUAGACAAACUAUCGUCCUCAGGAAUAUCAAGAAUAACAAAGUCCGUUAAAAUAGUAACGCUUGCAACCACAAUAGGCACAUCCUCACAAAUAUCGACAGGUAUAGCAGUUGAUUUAUCAGCCAUUUGCAAAGAUAUUUCAGUAGGUGUCAACUUAUUCAAAUCAAGUCUACAAUAUAAAGAGAGAGGCAUAACACUAACACCGGCUCCAAGAUCACAUAAAGCAGUUUUAACAUAGUUUCUUUCAAUGGAGCAUGGUAUAGUCGGUACUCCUGGAUCUCCUAGUUUCUUUGGUAUUCCACCCUUAAAAGUAUAAGUAGCAAGCAUGGUGGAAAUUUCAGCUUUCGGUAUCUUUCUUUUAUUAGUAACAAUAUCUUUCAUAUACUUAGCAUAAGGAUUCAUUUUGAGCAUAUCAGUUAAUUGCAUACGCAAAAAGAUAGGUCUAAUCAUUUCAGCAAAGCGCUCAAAAUCCUCAUCAUCCUUUUUCUUGGAUGGUUUGGGAGGAAAAGGCAUGGGUUUCUGAACCCAUGGUUCUCUUUCUUUACCAUGUUUCCUAGCAAUAAAGUCUCUCUUAUCAUAACGUUGAUUCUUUGAUUGUGGGUUAUCAAGAUCAAUAGCAGGUUCAAUUUCUACAUCAUUAUCAUUACUAGGUUGAGCAUCAUCAUGAACAUCUUCAUUAAUAUUAUCACUAGGCUCAUGUUCAUUACCAUAUUGUGUUUCAGCAUCAGAGAUAGAUAUAUCAUUUGGAUUCUCAGGUGGUUCAGUAAUAGGUUCACUAGAAGCAUGCAAAGUCCUAUCAUUUUUCUUUUUCUUCUUUUUAGAACAACUAGGUGCAUCGAUAUUAUUUCUCUGAGAAUCUUGUUCAAUUCUCUUAGGGUGACCUUCAGGAUAGAAAGGUUCCUGAGUCAUUUUACCAGUUCUAGUAGCCACUCUAACAGCAAAAUCAUUAUUCUUACUAUUUAAUUCAUUGAGCAAAUCAUUUUGAGCUUUAAGUACUUGUUCUACUUGAGUGGUAACCAUAGAAGCAUGUUUAGUAAUGAGUUUAAGUUCACCUUUAACUCUAGACAUAUAAUCACCCAAGUGUUCAAGCGUAUCGAAAUUGUAUUUCAAUUGUCUACCAAAAUAAGCAUUGAAGUUUUCUUGUUUGAAAAUAAAAUUAUCAAACACUUCUAAGCAUUGUCUAGCAGACUUAUAGUGAGGAAUAUCACCUUCAUCAAAUCUAUAGAGAGAAUUUACCUUUACUACCUGUGUCGGGUUAUCAAGACCAUGAGUUUCUUCAAUAGGUGAAGGCUUGAGAUCAUAUGUUUCUUCAACAGGCGGUAAAUUAAGACCAUGUAUUUCUUCAAUAGGAGGUAAAUUCUUAACAUCUUCAGCUUUAAUACCCUUUUCUUUCAUAGAUUUCUUUGCCUCUUGCAUAUCUUCAGGACUGAGAAAUAGAACACCUCUCUUCCUCGGAGUUGGUUUAGGAAUAGGCUCAGGAAGUGUCCAAUUAUUUUCAUUUGUCAACAUAUUAUUCAACAGAAUUUCAGCUUCAUCCGGUGUUCUUUCCCUAAAAACAGAACCAGCACAGCUAUCCAGGUAAUCUCUGGAAGCAUCGGUUAGUCCAUUAUAAAAGAUAUCAAGCAUUUCAUUUUUCUUAAGAGGAUGAUCAGGCAAAGCAUUAAGUAAUUGGAGAAGCCUCCCCCAAGCUUGUGGGAGACUCUCUUCUUCAAUUUGCACAAAAUUAUAUAUGUCCCUUAAAGCAGCUUGUUUCUUAUGAGCAGGGAAAUAUUUAGCAGAGAAGUAAUAAAUCAUAUCCUGGGGACUAUGCACACAACCAGGAUCAAGAGAAUUAAACCAUAUCUUAGCAUCACCCUUUAAUGAGAACGGAAAUAUUUUAAGGAUAUAUAGGUAGCGAGAUUUCUCAUCAUUAGUGAACAGGGUGGCUAUAUCAUUUAAUUUAGUAAGAUGUGCCACAACAGUUUCAGAUUCAUAGCCAUGAAAAGGAUCGGAUUCAACCAAAGUAAUUAUAUCAGGAUCAACAGAGAAUUCAUAAUCCUUAUCAAUAACACAGAUAGGUGAAGUAGCAAAAGCAGGGUCAGGUUUCAUUCUAGCAUUAAGAGAUUGCUGCUUCCAUUUAGCUAAUAACCUCUUGAGCUCAUAUCUAUCUUUGCAAGCUAAAAUAGCUAAAGUAGCUUCUUUUUCAAAAACAUAACCCUCAGGAAUAACAGGAGAGUCUUCAUCAUCACUUUCAUCAAUAUUAUCAGUUUCAAUAAUUUCAUUUUCUCUAACUCUAGCAAUUUGUUCCAUCAAGAAAUUCACCAAGUGGCAAAGUAGUAUCAAGCAUAGAAGUAGUUUCAUCAUAAGUAUCAUUCAUAGCAGAAGUGGCAUCAUCAAUAACAUGCGACAUAUCAGAACAAAUAGCAGAAGCAGGUUUAGGUGUCGCAAGCUUACUCAAAACAGAAGGUGAAUCAAGUGCAGAGCUAGAUGGCAAUUUCUUACCUCCCCUCGUAGUUGAGGGAUAAAUUGUUGUCUUUGCAUCUUUCAAGUUCUUCAUAGUGACCAGCAGAUAUAAAUCCCAAGUGACUCAAAGAAUAGAGCUAUGCUCCCCGGCAACGGCGCCAGAAAAUAGUCUUGAUAACCCACAAGUAUAGGGGAUCGCAACAGUUUUCGAGGGUAGAGUAUUCAACCCAAAUUUAUUGAUUCGACACAAGGGGAGCCAAAGAAUAUUCUCAAGUAUUAGCAGUUGAGUUGUCAAUUCAACCACACCUGGAUAACUUAGUAUCUGCAGCAAAGUAUUUAGUAGCAAAGUAAUAUGGGAGUAACGGUAACGGUAGCAAAAGUAGUAUUUUUGGGUUUUGUAAUGAUUGUAACAGUAGCAACAGAAAAGUAAAUAAGCGAAGAACAAUAUGUGAAAAGCUCGUAGGCAUUGGAUCGGUGAUGGAGAAUUAUGCCGGAUGUGGUUCAUCAUGUAACAGUCAUAACAUAGGGUGACACCAAACUAGCUCCAAUUCAUCAAUGUAAUGUAGGCAUGUAUUCCGAAUAUAGUCAUACAUGCUUAUGGAAAAGAACUUGCAUGACAUCUUUUGUCCUACCCUCCCGUGGCAGCGGGGUCCUAAUGGAAACUAAGGGAUAUUAAGGCCUCCUUUUAAUAGAGUACCGGAACAAAGCAUUAGCACAUAGUGAAUACAUGAACUCCUCAAACUAUGGUCAUCACCGGGAGUGGUCCCGAUUAUUGUCACUUCGGGGUUGCCGGAUCAUAACACAUAGUAGGUGACUAUAGACUUGCAAGAUAGGAUAAAGAACUCAAAUAUAUUCAUGAAAACAUAAAGGUUCAGAUCUGAAAUAAUGGCACUCGGACCCUAGUGACAAGCAUUAAGCAUAGCAAAGUCAUAGAAACAUCAAUCUCAAAACGCGAUGAAUCCUUCUCCUUGAUUUUUUCUCCCCGAAAGUGAAUAUAUAGAGUUGGAGUUGAGGUCGGUGGAGCAUCAGGGGGCCCACGAGGCAGGGGCACGCCCUCCACCCUCGUGGACAGGGUGUGGGCCCCCUGACGUGGAUUUUUCUUCCGGUAUUUUUCUUAUUUUCCAAAUAGAUGUUCCGUGGAGUUUCAUGUCAUUCCGAGAACUUUUGUUUCUGCACAUAAAUAACACCAUGGAAAGUCUGCUGAAAACAGCGUCAGUCCGGGUUAGUUCCAUUCAAAUCAUGCAAGUUAGAGUCCAAAACAAGGGCAAAAGUGUUUGGAAAACUAGAUACGACGGAGACGUAUCAGGGCGCUCGCUCGGCCGUCAAGCCAACGGUGAAGAAAAUAUGCCCUAUAGGCAAUAAUAAAGUUGUUAUUUAUAUUUCCUUUAUAUCAUGAUAAAUGUUUAUUAUUCAUGCUAGAAUUAUAUUAACCGGAAACUUAGUACAUGUGUGAAUACAUAGACAAAAUGAGUGUCACUAGUAUGCCUCUACUUGACUAGCUCGUUAAUCAAAGAUGGUUAAGUUUCCUAGCCAUGGACAUGAGUUGUCAUUUCAUUAACGGGAUCACAUCAUUAGAGAAUGAUGUGAUUUACUUGACCCAUCCGUUAGCUUAGCAGGAUGAUCGUUUAGUUUGUUGCUUUUGCUUUCUUCAUAACUUAUACAUGUUCCUAUGACUAUGAGAUUAUGCAACUCCCAAAUACCAGAGGAACACUUAGUGUGCUAUCAAACGUCACAACGUAACUGGGUGAUUAUAAAGAUGCUCUACAGGUGUCUCCGAUGGUGUUUGUUGAGUUGGCAUAGAUCGAGAUUAGGAUUUGUCACUCCAUUGUCGGAGAGGUAUCUCUGGGCCCUCUCGAUAAUGCACAUCACUAUAAGCCUUGCAAGCAAUGUGACUAAUGAGUUAUUUAUGGGAUCACGCAUUACGGAACAAGUAAAGAGACUUGCCGGUAACGAGAUUGAACUAGGUAUUGAGAUACCGACAAUCGAAUCUCGGGCAAGUAACAUACCGAUGACAAAGGGUGUUGCUAUGCGGUUUGACCGAUAAAGAUCUUCGUAGAAUAUGUAGGAACCAAUAUGAGCAUCCAGGUUCCGCUAUUGGUUAUUGACCGGAGAUGAGUCUCAGUCAUGUCUACAUAGUUCUCGAACCCGUAGGGUCCGCACGCUUAGCGUUCGAUGACGAUCGGUAUUAUGAGUUUAUGUGUUUUGAUGUGCCGAAGGUUGUUCGGAGUCCCGGAUGUGAUCACGGACAUGACGAGGAGUCCCUAAAUGGUCGAGACAUAAAGAUCGAUAUAUUGGAAGGCUAUGUCUGGACAUCGGAAUGGUUCCGGGUGAGUUCGGGCAUUUACCGGAGUACCGGGGGGUUACCGGAACCCCCCGGGGAGUUAUUGGGCCUUAAUGGGCCAUAGUGAAGAGAGAGAGGGGCGGCCAGGGCAGGCCGCGCGCCCCUCCCCCUUCGGUCCGAAUUAGACUAGGGAAGGGGGGCGACGCCCCCCUUUCCUUCUCCCUCUCUCCUCCUUCCCUCUUCUCCUACUCCAACUAGGGAAAGGGGGAAUCCUACUCCGACCGAGAGUAGGACUCCCCCCUUGGGCGUGCCAUGAGAGGGCUGGCCCUCCCCCUCCUCCACUCCUUUAUAUACGGGGGAGGGGGCACCCCAUUGACACACACGUUGAUUGUUUAGCCAUUUGCGGUGCCCCCUUCCACAGAUUUCCACCUCGGUCAUAUCGUUGCAGUGCUUAGGCGAAGCCCUGCGCUGGUAGCUUCAUCAUCACCGUCACCACGCCGUCGUGCUGACGAAACUCUCCCUCGACCUCAGCUGGAUCUAGAGUUCGUGGGACGUCACCGAGCUGAACAUGUGCAAAUCAUGAAGGUGCCGUAUCUUCGGUGCUAGGAUCGGUUGGAUCGUGAAGACGUACGACUACAUCAACCGCGUUGUCAUAACGCUUCCACUUACGGUCUACAAGGGUACGUGGACAACACUCUCCCCUCUCAUUGCUAUGCAUCACCUAGAUGGAUCUUGCGUGUAUGUAGGAUUUUUUUUGAAAUUACUACGUUCCCCAACAGUGGCAUCCGAGCCAGGUCUAUGCGUAGAUGUUAUAUGUGUUGGGGAACGUAGUAAUUUCAAAAAAAUUCCUACGCACACGCAAGAUCAUGGUGAUGCAUAGCAACGAGAGGGGAGAGUGUGUCCACGUACCCUCAUAGACCGAAAGCGGAAGCGUUAGCACAACGCGGUUGAUGUAGUCGUAUGUCUUCACGAUCCGACCGAUCAAGUACCGAACGCACGGCACCUCCGAGUUCUGCACACGUUCAACUCGAUGACGUCCCUCGACCUCCGAUCCAGCCGAGCUUUGAGGGAGAGUUCCGUCAGCACGACGGCGUGGUGACGAUGAUGAUGUUCUACUGACGCAGGGCUUCGCCUAAGCACCGCUACGAUAUAAUCGAGGUGGAUUAUGGUGGAGGGGGGCACCGCACACGGCUAAGAGAUCAAGAGAUCAAUUGUUGUGUCUCCAAGGGGUGCCCCCUUCCCUGUAUAUAAAGGAGUGGAGGAGGGGGAGGGCCGGCCCUCUAUGGCGCGCCCUAGGAGGAGUCCUACUCCCACCGGGAGUAGGAUUCCCCCCUUCCAAGUAGUAGGAGUAGGAGUCAAGGAAAGGGGAGACAAGAGAAGGAAGGAGGGGGCGCAGCCCCUCCCCCUAGUCCAAUUCGGACUAGGACUUGGGGGGCGCGCAGCCUCUCCUCUCUCUUUCCCCUAAAGCCCAAUAAGGCCCAUAUACUCCCCGGCGAAUUCUCGUAACUCUCCGGUACUCCGAAAAAUACCCGAAUCACUCAGAACCUUUCCGAUGUCCGAAUAUAGUCGUCCAAUAUAUCGAUCUUUACGUCUCGACCAUUUCGAGACUCCUCGUCAUGUCCCCGAUCUCAUCCGAGAAUCCGAACUGCCUUCGGUACAUCAAAACACAUAAACUCAUAAUAUAACCGUCAUCGAACUUUAAGCGUGCGGACCCUACGGGUUCGAGAACAAUGUAGACAUGACCGAGACAGGUCUCCAGUCAAUAACCAAUAGCGGAACCUGGAUGCUCAUAUUGGCUCCCACAUAUUCUACGAAGAUCUUUAUCGGUCAAAUCGCAUAACAACAUACGUUGUUCCCUUUGUCAUCGGUAUGUUACUUGCCCGAGAUUCGAUCGUCGGUAUCUCAAUACCUAGUUCAAUCUCGUUACCGGAAAGUCUCUUUACUCAUUUCGUAAUACAUCAUCCCGCAACUAACUCAUUAGUUGCAAUGCUUGCAAGGCUUAUAAUGAUGUGCAUUACCGAGUGGGCCCAGAGAUACCUCUCCGACAAUCGGAGUAACAAAUCCUAAUCUCGAAAUACGCCAACCCAACAAGUACCUUCGGAGACACCUGUAGAGCACCUUUGUAAUCACCCAGUUACGUUGUGACAUUUGGUAGCACACAAAGUGUUCCUCCGGUAAAUGGGAGUUGCAUAAUCUCAUAGUCAUAGGAACAUGUAUAAGUCAUGAAGAAAGCAAUAGCAGAAUACUAAACGAUCGAGUGCUAAGCUAACGGAAUGGGUCAAGUCAAUCACAUCAUUCUCCUAAUGAUGUGAUCCCGUUAAUCAAAUGACAACCCAUGUCAAUGGCUAGGAAACAUAGCCAUCUUUGAUCAACGAGCUAGUCAAGUAGAGGCAUACUAGUGACACUCUGUUUGUCUAUGUAUUCACACAAGUAUUAUGUUUCCGGUUAAUACAAUUAGCAUGAAUAAUAAACAUUUAUCAUGAUAUAAGGAAAUAAAUAAUAACUUUAUUAUUGCCUCUAGGGCAUAUUUCCUUCAGUCUCCCACUUGCACUAGAGUCAAUAAUCUAGAUCACAUCGCCAUGUGAUUUAACAUCAAUAGUUCACAUCACCAUGUGAUUAACACCCAUAGUUCACAUCGUCAUGUGACCAACACCCAAAGGGUUCACUAGAGUCAGCAAUCUAGUUCACAUCGCCAUGUGAUUAACACCCAAAGAGUACAAAGGUGUGAUCAUGUUUUGCUUGUGAGAGAAGUUUAGUCAACGGGUCUGCCAAAUUCAGAUCCGUAUGUAUUUUGCAAAUUUCUAUGUCAACAAUGCUCUGCAUGGAGCUACUCUAGCUAAUUGCUCCCACUUUCAAUAUGUAUCCAGAUUGAGAUUUAGAGUCAUCCGGAUCAGUGCCAAAACUUGCAUCGAUGUAACCCUUUACGAUGAACUUUUUGUCGUCUCCAUAACUGAGAAACAUAUCCUUAUUCCACUAGGGAUAAUUUUGACCAAUCUCCAGUGAUCUACUCCUAGAUCACUAUUGUACUCCCUUGCCAAACUCAGUGUAGGGUAUACAAUAGAUCUGGUACACAGCAUGGCAUACUUUAUAGAACCUAUGGCUGAGGCAUAGGGAAUGACUUUCAUUCUCUCUCUAUCUUCUGUCGUGGUCGGGCUUUGAGCCUUACUCAAUUUCACACCUUGUAACACAGGUAAGAACUCUUUCUUUGACUGUUCCAUUUUGAACCGUUUCAAAAUCUUGUCAAGGUAUGUACUCAUUGAAAAAACUUAUCAAGCGUCUUGAUCUACCUCUAUAGAUCUUGAUGCUCAAUAUGUAAGCAGCUUCACCGAGGUCUUUCUUUGAAAAACUCCUUUCAAAUACUCCUUUAUGCUUUGCAGAAUAAUUCUACAAUUAUUUCCGAUCAACAAUAUGUCAUUCACAUAUACUUAUAAGAAAUGUUGUAGUGCUCCCACUCACUUUCUUGUAAAUACAGGCUUCACCGCAAGUCUGUAUAAAACUAUAUCCUUUGAUCAACUUAUCAAAGCGUAUAUUCCAACUCCGAGAUGCUUGCACCAGUCCAUAGAUGGAUCGCUGGAGCUUGCAUAUUUUGUUAGCACCUUUAGGAUUGACAAAACCUUCUGGUUGCAUCAUAUACAACUCUUCUUUAAUAAAUCCAUUAAGGAAUGCAGUUUUGUUUAUCCAUUUGCCAGAUUUUAUAAAAUGCGGCAAUUGCUAACAUGAUUCGGACUGACUUAAGUAUAGAUACGAGUGAGAAACUCUCAUCGUAGUCAACACCUUGAAUUUGUCGAAAACCUUUUGCGACAAUUCUAGCUUUGUAGAUAGUAACACUACUAUCAGCGUCCGUCUUCCUCUUGAAGAUCCAUUUAAUCUCAAUGGCUCGCUGAUCAUUGGGCAAGUCAAUCAAAGUCCAUACUUUGUUCUCAUACAUGGAUCCCAUCUCAGAUUUCAUGGCCUCAAGCCAUUUUGCGGAAUCUGGGCUCAUCAUCGCUUCCUCAUAGUUCGUAGGUUCGUCGUGGUCAAGUAACAUGACCCCCAGAACAGGAUUACCGUACCACUCUGGUGUGGAUCUCACUCUGGUUUACCUACGAGGUUCGGUAGUAACUUGAUCUGAAGUUACAUGAUCAUCAUCAUUAGCUUCCUCACUAAUUGGUGUAGUAGUCACAGGAACAUAUUUCGGUGAUGAACUACUUUCCAAUAAGGGAGCAGGUACAGUUACCUCAUCAAGUUCUACUUUCCUCCAACUCACUUAUUUCGAGAGAAACUCCUUCUCUAGAAAGGAUCCAUUCUUAGCAACGAAUAUCUUGCCUUCGGAUCUGUGAUAGAAGGUGUACCCUACUGUCUCCUUUGGGUAUCCUAUGAAGACACAUUUCUCCGAUUUGGGUUUGAGCUUAUCAGGAUGAAACUUUUUCUUAUAAGCAUCGCAACCCCAAACUUUAAGAAACGACAGCUUAGGUUUCUUGCCAAACCAUAGUUCAUACGGUGUCGUCUCAACGGAUUUAGAUGGUGCCCUAUUUUUACAUGAAUGCAGUUAUCUCUAAUGCAUAACCCCAAAACUAUAGUGGUAAAUCGGUAAGAAACAUCAUAGGUUGCACCAUAUCUAAUAAAGUACGGUUACGACGUUCGGACACACCAUUAUGCUGUGGUGUUCCAGGUGGCAUGAGUUGCAAAACUAUUCUGCAUUGUUUUAAUUGAAGGCCAAACACGUAACUCAAAUAUUUGCCUCUACGAUCAGAUUGUAGAGACUUUAUUUUCUUGUUACGAUGAUUCUCUACUUCACUCUAAAAUUCCUUGAACUUUUCAAAUGUUUCAGACUUAUGUUUCAUCAAGUAGAUAUACUCAUAUCUGCUCAAAUCAUCUGUGAAGGUCAGAAAACAAUGAUACCCGCCGUGAGCCUCAACACUCAUUGGACCGCAUACAUCGGUAUGUAUUAUUUCCAACAAGUCAGUGGCUCGCUCCAUUGUUCCAGAGAACGGAGUCUUAGUCAUCUUGCCCAUGAGGCAUGGUUCGCAAGCAUCAAGUGAUUCAUAAUCAAGUGAUUCCAAAAGCCCAUCAGCAUGGAGUUUCUUCAUGCGUUUUACACCAAUAUGACCUAAACGGCAGUGCCACAAAUAAGUUGCACUAUCAUAAUUAACUUUGCAUCUUUUGGUUUCAAUAUUAUGAAUAUGUGUAUCACUACGAUCGAGAUCCAACGAACCAUUUUCAUUGGGUGUGUAACCAUAUAAGGUUUUAUUCAUGCAAACAGAACAACAAUUAUUCUCUAACUUAAAUGAAUAACUGUAUUGCAACAAACAUGAUCAAAUCAUAUUCAUGCUCAACGCAAACACCAAAUAGCACUUAUUUAGGUUCAACACUAAUCCCGAAAAUAUAGGGAGUGUGCGCUGAUGAUCAUAUCAAUCUUGGAACCACUUCCAACACACAUCGUCACUUCACCCUUAACUAGUCUCAGUUCAUUCUGCAACUCCCGUUUCGAGUUACUAAUCUUAGCAACUGAACUAGUAUCAAAUACUGAGGGGUUGCUAUAAACACUAGUAAAGUACACAUCAAUAACAUGUAUAUCAAAUAUACCUUUGUUCACUUUGCCAUCCUUCUUAUCCGCCAAAUACUUGGGACAGUUCCGCUUCCAGUGACCAGUCCCUUUGUAGUAGAAGCACUUAGUCUGAGGCUUAGGUCCAGACUUGGGCUUCUUCACUUGAGCAGCAACUUGCUUGUUGUUCUUCUUGAAGUUCCCCUUCUUCCCUUUGCCCUUUUUCUUGAAACUAGUGGUCUUGUCAACCAUCAACACUUGAUGUUUUUCUUGAUUUCUACCUUCGUCGAUUUCAGCAUCACGAAGAGCUUGGGAAUCGUUUCCAUUAUCCCUUGCAUAUUAUAGUUCAUCACGAAGUUCUAGUAACUUGGUGAUAGUGACUAGAGAAUUCUGUCAAUCACUAUCUUAUCUGGAAGAUUAACUCCCACUUGAUUCAAGUGAUUGUAGUACUCAGACAUUCUGAGCACAUUCUCACUAGCUGGGCAAUUCUCCUCCAUCUUGUAGGCAAAGUACUGUCAGAGGUCUCAUACCUCUCGACACGGGCAUGAGUAUGAAGUACCAAUUUCAACUCUUGGAACAUCUUAUAUGCUCCGUGGUGUUCAAAACAUUUUUGAAGUCCAGGUUCUAAGCCGUAAAGCAUGGUGCACUAAACUAUCAAGUAGUUAUCAUACCGAGCUUUGUCAAACGUUCAUAACGUCUGCAUCUGCUCCUGCAAUAGGUCUGUCACCUAGCGGUGCAUCAAGGACAUAAUACUUCUGUGCAGCAAUGAGGUUAAUCCUCAGAUCACGGACCAAUUCCGCAUCAUUGCUACUAACAUCUUUCAACUUAGUUAUCUCUAGGAACAUAUCAAAAUAAAACACGGGAGCUAAACGCAAGCUAUUGAUCUACAACAUAGAUAUGCUAAUACUACCAGGACUAAGUUCAUGAUAAAUUAAAGUUCAAUUAAUCAUAUUACUUAAGAACUCCCACUUAGAUAGACAUCCCUCUAAUCCUCUAAGUGAUCACGUGAUCCAUAUCAACUAAACCAUGUCCGAUCAUCACGUGAGAUGGAGUAGUUUCAAUGGUGAACAUCACUAUGUUGAUCAUAUCUACUAUAUGGUUCACGCUCGACCUUUCGGUCUCCGUGUUCCAGGCCAUAUCUGUUAUAUGCUAGGCUCGUCAAGUUUAACUUGAGUAUUCCGCGUGUGCAACUGUUUUGCACCCGUUGUAUUUGAACGUAGAGCCUAUCAUACCCGAUCAUCAUGUGGUGUCUCAGCAUGAAGAACUUUCGCAACGGUGCAUACUCAGGGAGAACACUUAUAUACCUUGAUAAUUUAGUGAGAGAUCAUCUUAUAAUGCUACCGUCAAUCAAAGCAAGAUAAGAUGCACAAAAGAUAAACAUCACAUGCAAUCAAUAUAAGUGAUAUGAUAUGGCCAUCAUCAUCCUGUGCUUGUGAUCUCCAUCUCCGAAGCACCGUCAUGAUCACCAUCGUCACCGGCGUGACACCUUGAUCUCCAUCGUAGCAUCAUUGUCGUCUCGCCAAUCUUAUGCUUCUACGACUAUCGCUACCGCUUAGUGAUAAAGUAAAGCAUUACAGGGCGAUUGCAUUGCAUACAAUAAAGCGACAACCAUAUGGCUCCUGCCAGUUGCCGAUAACUCGAUUACAAAACAUGAUCAUCUCAUACAAUAAAAUCUAGCAUCAUGCCUUGACCAUAUCACAUCACAACAUGCCCUGCAAAAACAAGUUAGACGUCCUCUACUUUGUUGUUGCAAGUUUUACGUGGCUGCUACGGGCUGAGCAAGAACCGUUCUUACCUACGCAUCAAAAUCACAGCGAUAGUUCGUCAAGUUAGUGUUGUUUUAACCUUCUCAAGGACCGGGCGUAGCCACACUCGGUUCAACUAAAGUUGGAGAAACUGACACCCGCCAGCCACCUGUGUGCAAAGCACGUCGGUAGAAGCAGUCUCGCGUAAGCAUACGCGUAAUGUCGGUCCGGGCCGCUUCAUCCAACAAUACCGCCGAACCAAAGUAUGACAUGCUGGUAAGAAGUAUGACUUGUAUCGCCCACAACUCACUUGUGUUCUACUCAUGCAUAUGACAUCUACGCAUAAAACCAGGCUCGGAUGCCACUGUUGGGGAACGUAGUAAUUUCAAAAUAAAUCCUACGCACACGCAAGAUCAUGGUGAGGCAUAGCAACGAGAGGGGAGAGUGUGUCCAGGUACCCUCGUAGACCGAAAGCGGAAGCGUUAGCACAACGCGGUUGAUGUAGUCGUACGUCUUCACGAUCCGACCGAUCAAAUACCGAACCCACGGCACCUCCGAGUUCUGCACACGUUCAACUCGAUGACGUCCCUCGAACCCCGAUCCAUCCGAGCUUUGAGGGAGAGUUCUGUCAGCACGACGGCGUGGUGACGAUGAUGAUGUUCUACCGAUGCAGGGCUUCGCCUAAGCACCGCUACGAUAUAAUCGAGGUGGAUUAUGGUGGAGGGGGGCACCGCACACGGCUAAGAGAUCAAGAGGUCAAUUGUUGUGUCUCCAAGGGGUGCCCCCUUCCCCGUAUAUAAAGGAGUGGAGGAGGGGGAGGGCCGGCCCUCUAUGGCGCGCCCUAGGAGGAGUCCUACUCCCACCGAGAGUAGGAUUCCCCCCUUCCAAGUAGUAGGAGUAGGAGUCAAGGAAAGGGGAGAGAGAAGAGAAGGAAGGAGGGGGCGCAGCCCCUCCCCCUAGUCCAAUUCGGACUAGGCCUUGGGGGGCGUGCAGCCUCUCCUCUCUCUUUCCCCUAAAGCCCAAUAAGGCCCAUAUACUCCCCGGCGAAUUCCGUAACUCUCCGGUACUCCGAAAAAUACCAGAAUCACUCGGAACCUUUCCGAUGUCCGAAUAUAGUCGUCCAAUAUAUCGAUCUUUACAUCUCGACCAUUUCGAGACUCCUCGGCAUGUCCCCGAUCUCAUACGGGACUCCGAACUACCUUCGGUACAUCAAAACACAUAAACUCAUAAUAUAACCGUCAUUGAACUUUAAGCGUGCGGACCCUACGGGUUCGAGAACAAUGUAGACAUGACCGAGACACGUCUCCGGUCAAUAACCAAUAGCGGAACCUGGAUGCUCAUAUUGGCUCCCACAUAUUCUACGAAGAUCUUUAUCUGUCAAACCACAUACAACAUACGUUGUUCCCUUUGUCAUCGGUAUGUUACUUGCCCGAGAUUCGAUCGUCGGUAUCUCAAUACCUAGUUCAAUCUCGGUACCGGAAAGUCUCUUUACUUGUUCUGUAAUACAUCAUCCCGCAACUAACUCAUUAGUUGCAAUGCUUGUGAGGCUUAUAACGAUGUGCAUUACCGAGUGGGCCCGGAGAUACCUCUCCGACAAUCGGAGUGACAAAUCCUAAUCUCGAAAUACGCCAACCCAACAAGUACCUUCGGAGACACCUGUAGAGCACCUUUAUAAUCACCCAGUUAUGUUGUGACGUUUGGUAGCACACAAAGUGUUCCUCCGGUAAACGGGAGUUGCAUAAUCUCAUAGUCAUAGGAACAUGCAUAAGUCAUGAAGAAAGCAAUAGCAGAAUACUAAACGAUCGAGUGCUAAGCUGACGGAAUGGGUCAAGUCAAUCACAUCAUUCUCCUAAUGAUGUGAUCCCGUUAAUCAAAUGACAGCUCAUGUCAAUGGCUAGGAAACAUAACCAUCUUUGAUCAACGAGCUAGUCAAGUAGAGGCAUACUAGUGAUACUCUGUUUGUCUAUGUAUUCACACAAGUAUUAUGUUUCCGGUUAAUACAAUUCUAGCAUGAAUAAUAAACAUUUAUCAUGAUAUAAGGAAAUAAAUAAUAACUUUAUUAUUGCCUCUAGGGCAUAUUUCCUUCAAUAUGCACGACUAGAACACAAAGAGUUGUGGGCGAUAAUAGUCAUACUGCUUACUAGCAUGUCAUACUUUGAUUCGGCGGUAUUGUUGGAUGAAGUGGCUCAGACCAACAUUACGUGUACGCUUACGCGAGACUGGUUCUACCGAUGUGCUUCGCACACAGGUGGCUAGUGGGUGUCUGUUUCUCCAACUUUAGUUGAACCGAGUGUGACUACGCCCGGUCCUUGUUGAAGGUUAAAACAACAACCUUGACGAAAAAUCAUUGUGGUUUUUGACGCAUAGGUAAGAACGGUUCUUGCUAAGCUCGUAGCAGCCACGUAAAACUUGCAACAACAAAGUAGAGGACGUCUAACUUGUUUUUGCAGGGCAUGUUGUGAUGUGAUAUGGUCAAGAUGUGAUUAUAUAAAUUGUUGUAUGAGAUGAUCAUGUUUUGUAACACAGUUAUCGGCAACUGGCAGGAGCCAUAUGAUUGUCGCUUUAUUGUAUGAAAUGCAAUCGCCAUGUAAUUGCUUUACUUUAUCACUAAGUGGUAGCAAUAGUCGUAGAAGCAAUAGUUGGCGAGACGACAACGAUGCUUCGAUGGAGAUCAAGGUGUCAAGCCGGUGACGAUGGUGAUCAUGACGGUGCUUUGGAGAUGGAGAUCAAAGGCACAAGAUGAUGAUGGCCAUAUCAUAUCACUUAUAUUGAUUGCAUGUGAUGUUUAUCCUUUAUGCAUCUUAUUUUGCUUAGUUCGGCGGUAGCAUUAUAAGAUGAUCUCUCACUAAAUUUCAAGGUAUAAGUGUUCUCCUAGAGUAUGCACCAUUGCUACAGUUCGUCGUGCCGACACACCACGUGAUGAUCGGGUGUGAUAAGCUCUACGUUCACAUACAACGGGUGCAAGCCAGUUUUGCACACGCAGAAUACUCGGAUUAAACUUGACAACCUAGCAUAUGCAGAUAUGGCCUCGGAACACUGAGACUGAAAGGUCGAGCGUGAAUCAUAUAGUAGAUAUGAUCAACAUAGUGAUGUUCACCAUUGAAAACUACUCCAUCUCACGUGAUGAUCGGACAUGGUUUAGUUGAUAUGGAUCAUGUGAUCACUUAGACGAUUAGAGGGAUGUCUAUCUAAGUGGGAGUUCUUAAGUAAUAUGAUUACUUGAACUUUAAUUUAUCAUGAACUUAGUACCUAAUAGUAUUUUGCAUGUCUAUGUUGUUGUAGAUAGAUGGCCCGUGUUGUUGUUUCGUUGAAUUUUAAUGCGUUCCUAGAGAAAGCUAAGUUGAAAGAUGAUGGUAGCAAUUACACGGACUGGGUCCGUAACUUGAGGAUUAUCCUCAUUGCUGCACAGAAGAAUUACGUCUUGGAAGCACCGCUAGGUGACAAACCCGUUGCAGGAGCAACGCCAGAUGUUAUGAACGUCUGGCAGAGCAAAUCUGAUGACUACUCGAUAGUUCAGUGGGCCAUGCUUUAUGGCUUAGAACCGGGACUUCAACGACGUUUUGAACAUCAUGGAGCAUAUGAGAUGUUCUAGGAGUUGAAGUUAAUAUUUCAAGAAAAUGCCUGGAUUGAGAGAUAUGAAGUCUCCAAUAAGUUCUACAGCUGCAAGAUGGAGGAGAAUAGUUCUGUCAGUGAACAUAUACUCAGAAUGUCUGGGUACCACAACCACUUGACUCAACUGGGAGUUAAUCUUCCUGAUGAUAGUGUCAUUCACAGAGUUCUUCAAUCACUGCCACCAAGCUACAAGAGCGUUACUGAUGAACUAUAAUAUGCAAGGGAUGGAUAAGACAACUCCCGAGCUCUUCGCGAUGCUAAAGGCUGCAGAGGUAGAAAUCAAGAAAGAGCAUCAAGUGUUGAUGGUCAACAAGACCACCAGUUUCAAGAAAAAGGGUAAAGGGAAGAAGGGGAACUUCAAGAAGAACAACAAGCAAGUUGCUGCUCCAGUGAAGAAGCCCAAGUCUGGACCUAAGCCUGAGACUGAGUGCUUCUACUGCAAAGGGACUGCUCACUGGAAGCGGAACUGCCCCAAGUAUUUGGCGGAUAAGAAGGAUGGCAAAGUGAAAGGGGCUACGGUUAAGUGAAGAUUGGCUAAGGACGAGGUGCCGAUGCGCGUGGGAAAUGGUUCCAAAGUUGAUGUGAUCGCCGUCGGCACGCUACCUCUACAUCUACCUUCGGGGUUAGUUUUAAACCGAAAUAAUUGUUAUUUGGUGCCAGCGUUGAGCAUGAACAUUAUAUCUGGAUCUUGUUCGAUGCGAGGUGGUUAUUCAUUUAAAUCAGAGAAUAAUGGUUGUUCUAUUUAUAUGAGUAAUAUCUUUUAUGGUCAUGCACCCUUGAUGAGUGGUCUAUUUUUACUAAAUCUUGAUAGUAGUGAUACACAUGUUCAUAGUAUUGAAGCCAAAAGAUAUAAGUUUAAUAAUGGUAGUGCAACUUAUUGGUGGCACUGCCGUUUAGGUCAUAUUGGUGUAAAGCGCAUGAAGAAACUCCAUGCUGAUGGGCUUUUGGAAUCACUUGAUUAUGAAUCACUUGAUGCUUGCGAACCAUGCCUCAUGGGCAAGAUGACUAAGACUCCGUUCUCCGGAACAAUGGAGCGAGCAACAGACUUGUUGGAAAUUAUGCAUACUGAUGUAUGCGGUCCGAUGAGUGUUGAUGCUCGCGGCGGGUAUCGUUAUUUUCUUACCUUCAUAGAUGAUUUGAGCAGAUAUGGGUAUAUCUACUUGAUGAAACAUAAGUCUGAAACAUUUGAAAGUUCAAAGAAUUUCAGAGUGAAGUGGAAAAUCAUCGUAACAAGAAAAUAAAGUUUCUAUGAUCUGAUCGUGGAGGAGAUAUUUGAGUUACGAGUUUGGUCUUCAUUUGAAACAAUGCAGAAUAGUUUUGCAACUCACGCCACCCGGAACACCACAACGUAAUGGUGUGUCUGAACAUCGUAAUCGUACUUUAUUAGAUAUGGUGCAAUCUAUGAUGUCUCUUACUGAUUUACCACUAUCGUUUUGGGGUUAUGCUUUAGAGAUGGCUGCAUUCACGUUAAAUAAGGCACCAUAUAAAUCCAUUGAGACGACACCUUAUGAACGGUGGUUUGGCAAGAAACCCAAGUUGUCGGUUCUUAAAGUUUGGUGCUGCGAUGCUUUUGUGAAAAAGCUUCAACCUGAUAAGCUCAAACCCAAAUCAGAGAAAUGUGUCUUCAUAGGAUACCCAAAGGAGACUGUUGAGUACACCUUCUAUCACAGAUCCGAAGGCAAGAUAUUCGUUGCUAAGAAUGGAUCCUUUCUAGAGAAGGAGUUUCUCUCGAAAGAAGUGAGUGGGAGGAAAGUAGAACUUGAUGAGGUAACUGUACCUGCUCCCUUAUUGGAAAGUAGUUCAUCACAAAAAUUAGUUCCAGUGAUUCCUACACCAGUAAGUGAGGAAGCUAAUGAUGAUGAUCAUGAAACUUCUGAUCAAGUUACUGCCGAACCUCGUAGGGCAACCAGAGUAAGAUCCGCACCAGAGUGGUACGGUAAUCCUGUUCUGGAGGUCAUGUUACUUGACAAUGACGAACCUACAAACUAUGAGGAAGCGAUGAUGAGCCCAGAUUCCGCAAAAUGGCUUGAGGCCAUGAAAUCUGAGAUGGGAUUCAUGUAUGAGAACAAAGUGUGGACUUUGGUUGACUUGCCCGAUGAUCGGCAAGCCAUAGAGAAUAAAUGGAUCUUCAAGAAGAAGAUUGACGCUGACGGUAAUGUUACUGUCUACAAUGCUCAACUUGUUGCGAAAGGUUUUGACAAGUUCAAGGAGUUGACUACGAUGAGACCUUCUCACCCGUAGCGAUGCCUAAGUCCGUCCGAAUCAUGUUAGCAAUUGCCGCAUUUUAUGAUUGUGAAAUUUGGCAAAUGGAUGUCAAAACUGCAUUCCUUAAUGGAUAUCUUAAAGAAGAGUUGUAUAUGGUGCAACCAGAAGGUUUUGUCGAUCCAAAAGGUGCUAACAAAGUGUGUAAGCUCCAGUGAUCCAUUUAUGGACUGGUGCAAGCAUCUCGGAGUUGGAAUAUACGCUUUGAUAGUGUGAUCAAAGCAUAUGGUUUUAUACAGACUUUUGGAGAAGUCUGUAUUUACAAGAAAGUUAGUGGGAGCUCUGUGGCAUUUUUGAUAUUAUAUGUGGAUGACAUAUUGUUGAUCGGAAAUGAUACUGAAUUACUAAAUAGCAUAAAAGGAUACUUGAAUAAGAUUUUUUUCAAUGAAAGACCUCGGUGAAGCUGCUUAUAUAUUAGGCAUCAAGAUCUAUAGAGAUAGAUCAAGACGCUUAAUUGGACUUUCACAAAGCAUAUACCUUGAUAAAGUUUUGAAGAAGUUCAAAAUGGAUCAAGCAAAGAAAGGAUUCUUGCCUGUAUUACAAGGUGUGAAGUUGAGCCAGACUCAAUGCCCGACCACUGCAGAAGAUAGAGAGAAAAUGAAAGUCAUUCCCUAUGCUUCAGCCAUAGGUUCUAUCAUGUAUGCAAUGUUGUGUACCAGACCUGAUCUGUGCCUUGCUAUUAGUUUAGCAGGGAGGUACCAAAGUAAUCCAGGAGUGGAUCACUGGAUAGCGGUCAAGAACAUCCUAAAAUACCUGAAAAGGACUAAGGAUAUGUUUCUCGUUUAUGGAGGUGACAAAUAGCUCAUCGUAAACAGUUACGUCGAUGCAAGCUUUGACACUGAUCCGGAUGACUUUAAAUCACAAACCGGAUACAUAUUUUUAUUGAAUGGCGGAGCUGUCAGUUAGUGCAGUUCCAAGCAGAGCAUCGUGGCGGGAUCUACGUGUGAAGCGGAGUACAUAGCUGCUUCGGAAGCAGCAAAUGAAGGAGUCUGGAUGAAGGAGUUCAUAUCUAAUCUAGGUGUCAUACUAGUGCAUCGGGUCCAAUGAAAAUCUUUUGUGACAAUACUGGUGCAAUUGCCUUGGCAAAGGAAUCCAGAUUUCACAAGAGAACCAAGCACAUCAAGAGACGCUUCAAUUCCAUCCGCGAUCAAGUCAAGGAGAGAGACAUAGAGAUUUGCAAGAUACAUACGGAUCUGAAUGUUGCAGACCCAUUGACUAAGCCUCUCUCACGAACAAAACAUGAUCAGCACCAAGACUCCAUGGGUGUUAGAAUCAUUACUAUGUAAUCUAGAUUAUUGACUCUAGUGCAAGUGGGAGACUGAAGGAAAUAUGCCCUAGAGGCAAUAAUAAAGUUGUUAUUUAUAUUUCCUUAUAUCAUGAUAAAUGUUUAUUAUUCAUGCUGGAAUUGUAUUAACCGGAAACUUAGUACAUGUGUGAAUACAUAGACAAAAUGAGUGUCACUAGUAUGCCUCUACUUGACUAGCUCGUUAAUCAAAGAUGGUUAAGUUUCCUAGCCAUGGAUAUGAGUUGUCAUUUGAUUAAUGGGAUCACAUCAUUAGAGAAUGAUGUGAUUGACUUGACCCAUCCGUUAGCUUAGCACGAUGAUCGUUUAGUUUGUUGCUUUUGCUUUCUUCAUAACUUAUACAUGUUCCUAUGACUAUGAGAUUAUGCAAAUCCCGAAUACUGGAGGAACACUUAGUGUGCUAUCAAACGUCACAACGAAACUAGGUGAUUAUAAAGAUGCUCUACAGGUGUCUCCCAUGGUGUUUGUUGAGUUGGCAUAGAUCGAGAUUAGGAUUUGUCACUCCGAUUGUCGGAGAGGUAUCUCUAGGCCCUCUCGGUAAUGCACAUCACUAUAAGCCUUCCAAGCAAUGUGACUAAUGAGUUAGUUACAGGAUGAUGCAUUACGGAACAAGUAAAGAGACUUGCUGGUAACGAGAUUGAACUAGGUAUUGAGAUACCGACGAUCGAAUCUCGGGAAAGUAACAUACCGAUGACAAAGGGAACAACGUAUGUUGUUAUGCGGUUUGACCAAUAAAGAUCUUCGUAGAAUAUGUAGGAACCAAUAUGAGCAUCUAGGUUACGCUAUUGGUUAUUGACCGGAGAUGAGUCUCGGUCAUGUCUACAUAGUUCUCGAACCCGUAGGGUCCGCACGCUUAACGUUCGAUGACGAUCGGUAUUAUGAGUUUAUGUGUUUUGAUGUACCGACGGUUGUUUGGAGUCCCAGAUGUGAUCAUGGACAUGAAGAGGAGUCUCGAAAUGGUCGAGACAUAAAUAUUGAUAUAUUGGAAGGCUAUGUUUGGACAUCGGAAUGGUUCCGGGUGAGUUCGGGCAUUUACCGGAGUACCGGAGGGUUACCGGAACCCCCCGGGGAGUUAUUGGGCCUUAAUGGGCCAUAGUGAAGAGAGAGAGGGGCGGCCAGGGCAGGCCGCACGCCCCCUCUCCCUUGGGUCCGAAUUGGACUAGGGAAGGGGGGCAGCGCCCCCCUUUCCUUCUCCCUCUCUCCUCCUUCCCUCUUCUCCUACUCCAACUAGGGAAAGGGGGAAUCCUACUCCCACCGGGAGUAGGACUCCCCCCUUGGGCACGCCAUGAGAGGGAUGGCCCUCCCCCUCAUCCACUCCUUUAUAUACGGGGGAGGGGGCACCCCAUAGACACACAAGUUGAUUGUUUAGCCGUGUGCGGUGCCCCCCUCCACAGAUUUCCACCUCGGUCAUAUCGUUGCAGUGCUUAGGCGAAGCCCUGCGCUGGUAGCUUCAUCAUCACCGUCACCACGCCGUCGUGCUGACGAAACUCUCCCUCGACCUCAGCUGGAUCUAGAGUUCGUGGGACGUCACCGAGCUGAACGUGUGCAGAUUGCGAAGGUGUCGUAUCUUCGGUGCUAGGAUCGGUCGGAUCGUCAAGACGUACGACUACAUCAACCGCGUUGUCAUGACGCUUCCGCUUACGGUCUACGAGGGUAUGUGGACAACACUCUCCCCUCUCGUUGCUAUGCAUCACCUAGAUGGAUCUUGCGUGUGCGUAGGAAAUUUUUUGAAAUUACUGUGUUCCCCAACAAACGGCGGCCCCCACAACCGCCAAACAUCAUCUCCAUAUCAGCCUCGAGUACUCUGAAAGGAUGGAUCCGGCAGAUGUCUCGUCCUUAAAAGAGCUGCUAGAUUGCAUGGCCGCCCUGGGGGUCGCAACAGACUAUGAUCGGAUUGGGCCUAAACCCGACCAGAGGGAAAUCAAGUCCCCACCGGUCACCCAUAUGGUAGCGGUCGUUGAGGAACGAGCCGAGAACGAUUCCUCCCCCAAGUUAAAAACCAGCUAUAUUCGGAUCUCCGAGCCCUGUGAGCCGGAUACCCAUCCCCGGGAAAAGAUAGUAUGUCCUCCGAACACAAGAUCAGCCAUUGAGCCCGGAAGUCCUCAGGACCCUCCCGAUCUUGAACUAGUGAACUCGAAGACUCUUCAAGCUCCGGACUCGAUCGUGGAUCAGGACGCGGAUUUUAGCCCGCCCACCCACCACAAUCAAUAUUCCUGAAGUAAUUCAGACCCUCCAGACAUAUGCGACCUAAUGUUUGUAUGGCGGCAACCUCAGGAAACGGUCCAUCACUUCUGGGCCUGGUUCCUCCUCGUUAAAAACAAGAUUAAAGGUUGUUGCGAUGACGAUGUGGUUUCAGUUUUCUGCCGCAACUGUACGAAUGAGGGAAUUCUCAAUGCCCUCAACCGCCACCGCAUACUGCACUUUGCAGAUUUGGCACACAUAGUACAGAAAUACUGCGCAAUGGAAAGCGCCUGGAAAGCCCAGAUAGCCCGGUGGGAACCUCCUGCCUUUAGGCAGUCCCCCGUACGGGCAAAAAGGAUGCACCCCUAUGGAGCACCCGAUCAUCAGCCUAUUGACAAGAAAAACAAGCCCUUCACGGGACAUAGAACCAUCCUUGACGUACUGCUCGACAGGCCAUGUCAGAUACAUACGACGCCGAACACCGAACCAACGCAUAGCCUUUGGACAUGUUGGGUACUCCAGCAAGUGGGUAAGAGCGGCAAGGUUAUCCUCACCAAUACUACCCCUGAGAAGCACUCUUCGGAGGAUGAUGAUCUCAACAUAUUUACGGUCUUCGAGGCCUUUUCUUCAAAUAAUCGGCGCAAAAGGGUGCUCCGCGACCUCGCCGAAGUCAACCAAGUAACCACAAUGAACCCUUGGAACGAUACGGUAAUAACUUUCACCGCCGAUGACGAACCAAGGGCCCCAGUCCGAGCACCAGCCGCCUUGGUCUUAAACCCAAUUGUGGACGGCUUUCGACUCUCCAAAGUACUCAUGGAUGGCGGCAGCGGACUUAACCUCAUCUAUGAAGAUAUGCUCGAUAUAAUGCAAAUGGACAAGAGUCGCAUCGAGCAAAGCAGUACCACCUUUCGAGGUAUUAUCCCCAGUUGAGAAGCGCGAUGCUCAGGAAAAAUUAAACUCGACGUAGUAUUCAGCACGCCUGAUAACUACAGGUCCGAAGAGUUGCUCUUCCAUGUGGCCCCUUUCAAUAGCGGAUAUCACACCCUUUUGGGGCGGGACGCCUUCGCACGCUUCCAAGCCAUCCCCCAUUACGGGUAUAGGAAGCUUAAAAUGCCAGGGCCCAAUGGAGUAAUCACUAUCACCAGUGAUCCGGAUAUAGCACUCCGCGCCGAAAACAAAACCGCAUCCUUGGCCCUCGAGGCACUAUCCGAGGCCCUCGCGGCCAAGGAGCUAGCUGAGGGAGUCCUGGACUAAGGGGUCCUUGGGCGUCCGGUCUGUUAGCCAUGGGUCGGACUGAUGGGCUGUGAAGAUACGAAGACCGAAGACUGCACCCAUGUCCGGAUGGGACUCUCCUUGGCGUGGAAGGCAAGCUUGGCGACCAAAUAUGUAGAUUCCUUUCCUUUGUAACCGACCUUGUGUAACCCUAGAUCCUCCCGGUGUCUACAUAAACCGGAGGACUUAGUCCGGAGGGGGGAUAUACUCAUUACCAUAGUCAUACGGGCUAGACUUCUAGGGUUUAGCCAUUACGAUCUCGUGGUAGAUCAACUCUUGUAAUACUCAUAUUCAUCAAGAUCAAUCAAGCAGGAAGUAGGGUAUUAUUACCUCCAUAGCGAGGGCCCGAACCUGGGUAAACAUCGUGUUCCCUGUCUCUUGUUACCGUCGACCUUAGACGCACAGUUCGGGACCCCCUACCCGAGAUCCGCCGGUUUUGACACCAACAUUGGUGAUUUCAUUGAGAGUUCCACUAUGUCGUCGACGACAGGAUCGAUGACUCGCCUCGUCCUUAAAGACAAUAUAACCGCCGGAGGAGAACUGGCCCCAGGCCAAACCCUCCGGCUGGGCAGCUUUACCAUGACCGCUCGUUCGGCCGUUAAGCCGACGAUGACCUCUCGGGCCAUCGAAGAUCCUCUUCGUAUCGACCCCAAACACUCCAAGCAGAUGGAUCCGGCGGACUUUUCAUCUUUAAACGAGCUCCUUGAUCGCAUCGCCGCCCUGGGAGUCACCACACAUUACGAUCGGAUCGGGCUUAAACCCGACCAAAGAGAAAUCAAAUCUCCACCGGUCACCCACCAGAUAGCGGUAGUCGAGGAGCAAGACGGCGACUCUUCCCCUAUACUGAAGACGGACUAUGUCCAGAUCGUCGACCCUGCAGAGCCGGAUACCCAUCAGCAAAAGGAGGUGACCGGCCUUCCGAAUAUAGGAUCGGACGGCGGGCAUAAGCAACCAGAAGAUACUCCGGGGCCCGGACUGUUAAGUCUGGAAAACCUUCAGUCUCCGGAUCAUCGAUCGAGUCAGGGUCCGGAUCCAAUUCCACCCACCCACCCAGACAUAAGCGCUCUCAUGAGCAUACAACAGCAGUCUCAGGAAACGGUCCACCACUUCUGGGCCAGAUUCCUCCUUGUCAAGGACAAGGUUAAAGAUUGCCACGACGAGGACGCGAUAUCAGCGUUCUGCAACAAUUGCAUGAACGAAGGAAUCCUCAAUGCCAUUAAUCGCCGCUGCAUACUACACUUCGCUGACUUGGCAAUUAUCGUAUAGAAGUACAGCGCAAUGGAAAGCGCCUGGAAAGAUCAGGCAGUUUGUUGGGAGCCAUCGGUCCCAACUCAACCGCUGGUCCAGGCGAAAAGGGCGCAUCCCCGUGACACGCCCAGUCCAAUAGCCAAGAAAUAUAAACCCAUUACGUGGCACGGAACCGUUCUGGAGGGAUGGCUCGAUGGCCCAUGCAAAAUACGCACAACACCGGACACCAUACCAACCCACAGCCUUAGAGCAUGUUGGAUACUCCGGCAGGUAGCCAAGAGCGGCGACGACAUCCUUACCAAAAACACCCCAGAGCAACACCCUCCAGAAGACGACGACCCCAGAGUAUUGACGGUCUUCGGGACAUUCGCUUCAAACAAUAAGCGCAAAAGGGCACUCCGCGACCUCGCCGAAGUCUGUCAAAUCGCCGCGAUAAACCCUUGGAACGACAUGGCUAUAACCUUUAAUGCCGGUGACGAACCAAAAUACAGGACAGUCCGAGCACCAGCCGCAUUAGUCCUCAGUCCCAUCGUGGACGGCUUUCGACUCACCAAGGUCCUCAUGGACGGCGGCAGCGGACUAAACCUCAUAUAUGAGGAUACACUCCACAAGAUGGAAAUAAACAGAAGCCGCAUCAAGCAAAGCAGCACGGCCUUCCGAGGAAUCAUUCCCAGUCGGGAGGCGUGGUUGCUACCUCUUGAGCACUGCGUUGGUUUUCCCUUGAAGAGGAAAGGGUGAUGCAGUAAAGUAGCGUAAGUAUUUCCCUCAGUUUUUGAGAACCAAGGUAUCAAUCCAGUAGGAGGCCACGCUCGAGUCCCACGCACCUACACAAACAAAUAAGAACCUCGCAACCAACGCGAUAAAGGGGUUGUCAAUCCCUUCACGGUCACUUACGAGAGUGAGAUCUGAUAGAUAUGAUAAGAUAAUAUUUUUGGUAUUUUUUAUGAUAAAGACUAAAAGUAAAGAUUGCAAAAUAAACAAAGAUAGAAAUAGCUUAUUGACGGAAGAUUAAUAUGAUGGAAAAUAGACCCAGGGGCCAUAGGUUUCACUAGUGGCUUCUCUCAAGAUAGCAUAAGUAUUACGGUGGGUGAACAAAUUAUUGUCGAGCAAUUGAUAGAAUUGAGCAUAGUUAUGAGAAUAUCUAGGUAUGAUCAUGUAUAUAGGCAUCAUGUCUGCGACAAGUAGACCGAAACGAUUCUGCAUCUACUACUAUUACUCCACACAUCGACCGCUAUCCAGCAUGCAUCUAGAGUAUUAAGUUCAAAAGAACAGAGUAAUGCUUUAAGCAAGAUGACAUGAUGUAGAGGGCUAAACUCAUGCAAUAUGAUAUAAACCCCAUCUUGUUAUCCUCAAUGGCAAAAAUACAAUACGUUCCUUGCUGCCCCUGCUGUCGCUAGGAAAGGACACCGAAAGAUUGAACCCAAAGCUAAGCACUUCUCCCAUUGCAAGAAAGAUCAAUCUAGUAGGCCAAACCAAACUGAUAAUUCGAAGAGACUUGCAAAGAUAACCAAUCAUACAUAAAAGAAUUCAGAGAAGAUUCAAAUGUAGUUCAUAGAUAAUCUUGAUCAUAAACCCACAAUUCAUCGGUCUCGACAAACACACCGCAAAAGAAGAUUACAUCUAAUAGAUCUCCAAGAAAAUCGACGAGAACUUUGUAUUGAGAUCCAAAGAGAGAGAAGAAGCCGUCUAGCUAAUAACUAUGGACCCGAAGAUCUGAGGUAAACUACUCACGCAUCAUCGGAGAGGCUAUGGUGUUGAUCUAGAAGCCCUCCGUGAUCAAUGCCCCCUCCGGCAGGACACCGGAAAAGGCCCCAAGAUGGGAUCUCACGGGUACAGAAGGUUGCGGCGGUGGAAUUAGGUUUUCGUGGAUGCUUCUGAUGGUUUGGGGGUACGGAGAUAUAUAUAGGAGGAAGAAGUAGGUCGGUGGAGCCACGAGGGGCCCACGAGGGUGGAGGGCGCGCCCUAGGGGGGUAGGCGUGCCCCCCUACCUCGUGGCCUCCUCGGUGAUUUCUUGACCUCCACUCCAAGUCCUCUGGAUCACGUUUGUUCCAAAAAUCACGUUCCUGAAGGUUUCAUUCCGUUUGGACUCCGUUUGAUAUUCCUUUUCUGCGAAACACUGAAAUAGGCAAAAAAACAGCAAUCUGGGCUGGGCCUCUGGUUAAUAGGUUAAUCCCAAAAAUAAUAUAAAAGUGUAUAAAUAAGCCCAUUAAACAUCCAAAACAGAAUAUAUAAUAGCAUGGAACAAUCAAACAUUAUAGAUACGUUGGAGACGUAUCAAGCAUCCCCAAGCUUAAUUCCUGCUCGUCCUCGAGUAGGUAAAUGAUAAAAACAGAAUUUUUGAUGUGGAAUGCUACUUAACAUAAUUUUCAAUGUAAUUCACUUAUUUGUGGUAUGAAUCUUCAGAUCCAAAAGAUUCAAGAUAAGAGUUUAAUAUUGACAUAAAAAUAAUAAUACUUCAAGCAUACUAACUAAGCAAUCAUGUCUUCUCAAAAUAACAUGGCCAAAGAAAGUUACCCCUACAAAAUCAUAUAGUCUGGCUAUGCUCUAUCUUCAUCACACAAAGUACUUAAUCAUACACAACCCCGAUGACAAGCCAAGCAAUUGUUUCAGACUUUUGAUGUUCUCAAACUUUUUCAAUUUUCACACAAUACAUGAGCGUGAGCCAUGGACAUAGCACUAUAUGUGGAAUAGAAUGGUGGUUGUGGAGAAGACAAAAAAGGGAGAAGAUAGUCUCACAUCAACUAGGCAUAUCAAUGGGCUAUGGAGAUGCCCAUUAAUAGAUAUCAAUGUGAGUGAGUAGGGAUUGCCAUGCAAUGGAUGCACUAGAGCUAUAAGUGUAUGAAAGCUCAAAAAGAAAGUAAGUGGGUGUGCAUCCAACUCGCUUGCUCACGAAGACCUAGGGCAUUUUGAGGAAGCCCAUCAUUGGAAUAUACAAGCCAGGUUCUAUAAUGUAAAAUUCCCACUAGUAUAUGAAAAUGACAACAUAGCAGACUCUCUAUCAUGAAGAUCAUGGUGCUACUUUUGAAGCACAAGUGUGGUAAAAGGAUAGUAACAUUGUCCCUUCUCUCUUUUUCUCUCUUUUUUUUCAUUUGGGCCUUUUCUCCUUUUUUUAUGGCCUCUUUUUUUUCUUUUUUUCUUUUUCGUCCGGAGUCUCAUCCCGACUUAUGGGGGAAUCAUAGUCUCCAUCAUCCUUUCCUCACUUGGGACAAUGCUCUAAUAAUGACGAUCAUCACACUUUUAUUUACUUACAACUCAAGAAUUACAACUCAAUACUUAGAACAACAAUAUGACUCUAUGUGAAUGCCUCCGGCGGAGGACCGGGAUAUGCAAUGAAUCAAGAGUGACAUGUAUAAAAAAUUAUGAACGAUGGCUUUGCCACAAAUACGAUGUCAACUACAUGAUCAUGCAAAGCAAUAUGACAAUGAUGAAGCGUGUCAUAGCAAACAGAACGGUGGUAAGUUGCAUAGCAAUGUAUCUCGGAAUGGCUAUGGAAAUGCCAUAAUAGGUAGGUAUGGUGGCUGUUUUGAGGAAGGUAUAUGGUGGGUGUAUGAUACCGGCAAAAAGUGUGCGGUAUUAGAGAGGCUAGCAAUGGUGGAAGGGUGAGAGUGCGUAUAAUCCAUGGACUCAACAUUAGUCAUAAAGAACUCAUAUACUUGUUGCAAAAAUCUAUUAGUUAUCAAAACAAAGUAUUACGCGCAUGCUCCUAGGGGAAUAUAUUGGUAGGAAAAGACCAUCGCUCGUCCCCGACCGCCACUCAUAAGGAAGACAAUCAAUAAAUAAAUCAUGCUCCGACUUCAUCACAUAACGGUUCACCAUACGUGCAUGCUACGGGAGUCACAAACUUUAACACAAGUAUUUCUCAAAUUCAUAACUACUCAACUAGCAUGACUCUAAUAUCACCAUCUUCAUAUCUCAAAACAAUUAUCAAGCAUCAAACUUUUCUUAGUAUUCAACGCACUUAUAAGAAAGUUUUUACUAAUCUUGGAUGCCUAUCAUAUUAGAACUACCUUCUCAAUUUAAGCAAAUUACCAUGAUGUUUUGUAGGACUCUCAAAAUAAUAUAAGUGAAGCAUGAGAGAACAAUAUUUUCUAUAAAACAAAACCACCGCCGUGCUCUAAAAGAUAUAAGUGAAGCACUAGAGCAAAAACUAUAUAGCUCAAAAGAUAUAAGUGAAGCACAUAGAGUAUUCUAAUAAUUUCCGAAUCAUGUGUGUCUCUCUCAAAAGGGUGUGUACAGCAAGGAUUAUUUUGGCAAACUAACAAACAAAGACUCAAAUCAUACAAGACGCUCCAAUCAAAACACAUAUCAUGUGGUGAAAAAAAAUAUAGCUCCAAGUAAAGUUACCGAUGGAUGAGGACGAAAGAGGGAUUUUUGGUGUCCUUAGAUUAUCUUGGGGUGCCAUGGGCAUCCCCAAGCUUAGGCUCUUGCCACUCCUUGUUCCAUAAUCCAUCAAAUCGUUUACCCAAAACUUGAAAACUUCACAACACAAAACUUAACAGAAAAUCUCAUGAGCUCCGUUAGCGAAAGAAAACAAAACACCACUUCAAGGUACGGUAAUGAACUCAUUUUUUAUUUAUAUUGGUGUUAAACCUACUGUAUUCCAACUUCUCUAUGGUUUAUAAACUAUUUUACUAGCCAUCUAUUCAUCAAAAUAAGCAAAUAACACACGAAAAACAGAAUCUGUCAAAAACAGAACAGUCUGCAGUAAUCUGUAACUAACGCAAACUUCUGGAACUCUAAAAAUUCUGCCAAAAUAGGACGACCUAAAUAAUUUGUUUAUUGAUCUGCUGCAAUUGGAAUCAAUAUUAUAUCACGUUCUGGUAAUCUUUAACAAUUGUUUUCGUGAACAGAAAGUUUCUGGAAUUUUCAGCAAGAUCAAAUAACUAUCAUCCAAGAAGUUCCUAUAGGUUUAACUUGGCACAAACACUAAUUAAAACACAAAAACAAAUCUAACCAGAGGAUAGAUCAAAGAUUUACUCCUAAACAGAAGCAAAAAGCAAAAAACUAAAAAUAAAAUUGGGUUGCCUCCCAACAAGCGCUAUCGUUUAACGCCCCUAGCUAGGCAUAAAAACAAGGAUAGAUCUAGGUAUUGCCAUCUUUGGUAGGCAAUCCAUAAGUGGCUCUCAUAAUAGAUUCAUAAGGUAAUUUAAUUUUCUUUCUAGGAAAGUGUUCCAUGCCUUUCCUUAACGAAAAUUGGAAUCUAAUAUUCCCUUCCUUCAUAUCAAUAAUUGCACCAAUCGUUCUAAGAAAAGGUCUACCAAGAAUAAUAGGACAUGAAGGAUUGCAAUCUAUAUCAAGAACAAUAAAAUCUACGGGCACAUAGUUCCUAUUUGCAAUGAUAUGAACAUCAUUAAUUCUUCCCGUAGGUUUCUUAAUAGUGGAAUCCGCAAGGUGUAAGUUUAAAGAGCAAUCAUCAAAUUCGCGGAAACCUAACAAAUCACAUAAAGUUUUUGAAUCGUGGAAACACUAGCACCCAAAUCACACAAAGCAUAGCAUUCAUGAUCUUUAAUUUUAUUUUAAUAGUAGGUUCCCACUCAUCAUAAAGUUUUCUAGGGAUAGAAACUUCCAACUCAAGUUUUUCUUCAUAAGAUUGCAUUAAAGCAUCAAUGAUAUGUUUAGUAAAAGCUUUAUUUUGAUUAUAAGCAUGAGGAGAAUUUAGCACGGAUUGCAACAAGGAAAUAUAAUCUAUCAAAGAGCAAUUAUCAUAAUUAAAUUUCUUGAAAUCCAAAAUAGUGGGUUCAUUGAUAUCUAAAGUUUUGACCUCUUCAAUCCCACUUUUACAAAUUUUAGCAUCAUGAUUUAAAAACUCCGAUUUUUUGGAACGCCUUCUAGGUAAAGGUGGCUCAUCUCCAGUCCCAUAAUUAUCAAGAUUCAUAUUGCCAAACAAAGAUUUAAUAGGAGACACAUCAAUAACUUCUAUAUCUUCCUCUUUAUUCUCAUAAAAAUUAGAAGAACACGCUUUGACAAAGCAAUCUUUCUUAGCACGCAUCCUAGCGGUUCUUUCUUUGCACUCAUCAAUGGAAAUUCUCAUAGCUUUGAGAGACUCAUUGAUAUCAUGCUUAGGUGGAAUAUAUCUAAGUUUCAAAGAAUCAACAUCAAGAGAAAUUCUAUCAACGUUCCUAGCCAAUUCAUCCACCUUACGCAUUUUUUCUUCAAGCAAAGCGUUGAAAUUCUUUUGCGAAUUCAUAAAAUCCUUAACACUAGUCUCAAAUUCAGAGGGCGUCUUAUUAAAAUUUCCAUAAGAGUUAUUGUAGGAAUUACCAUAAUUAUUAGAGGAAUUACUAGGAUACGGCCUAGGAUUAAAGUUUCCUCUAUACGCGUUGUUACCAAAAUUAUUCCUACCAACAAAAUUCACAUCCAUAGAUUCAUUAUUAUUCUCAAUCAAAGUAGACAAUGGCAUAUCAUUAGGAUCACAAGAAACACUUUUAGUAGCAAAUAAUUUCAUAAGUUCAUCCAUCUUUCCACUCAAAACAUUAAUUUCUUCUAUUGCAUGCACUUUUUUAUUAGUAGAUCUUUCGGUGUGCCAUUGAGAAUAAUUAACCAUAAUAUUAUCUAGGAGUUUAGUAGCUUCUCCUAAAGUGAUUUCCAUAAAAGUGCCUCCCGCGGCCGAAUCUAAAAGAUUUCUAGAAGCAAAAUUCAAUCCGGCAUAAAAAAAUUGUAUAAUCAUCCAAAGAUUCAAACCAUGUGUAGGGCAAUUACGUAUUAUUAAUUUCAUCCUCUCCCAAGCUUGUGCAACAUGUUCAUGAUCAAGUUGCUUAAAAUUCAUGAUAUCGUUUCUAAAAGAGAUGAUUUUAGCGGGAGGAAAAUACUUAGAGAUAAAAGCAUCUUUGCAUUUAUUCCAUGAAUCAAUACUAUUUUUAGGCAAAGACGAAAACCAAGCUUUAGCACGAUCUCUAAGCGAAAAGGAAAUAGCUUCAAUUUAACAAUAUCAUUAUCCACAUCUUUCUUCUUUUGCAUACCACACAAAUCAGCAAAGCUAUUCAGAUGGGUAGCGGCAUCUUCACUAGGAAGGCCGGCGAAUUGAUCUUUCAUGACAAGAUUCAGCAAAGCAGCAUUAAUUUCACAAGAUUCAGCAUCGGUAAGAGGAGCAACCGGAGUGCUAAGAAAAUCAUUGUUGUUGGUAUUGGUAAAGUCACACAAUUUAGUAUUAUCUUGAGCCAUAGUGACGAGCAAACAAUCCAACACACGAGCAAACAAGAAGCGAGCGAAAAAGAGGCGAACGAAAAAGAGAGGGCGAAUAAAACGGCAAGGGUGAAGUGGGGGAGAGGAAAACGAGAGGCAAAUGGAAAAUAAUGUAAUGCGAGGGAUAAGAGUUUGUGAUGGGUACUUCGUAUGUUGCCUUGUGCGUAGAUCUCCAUGGCAACGGCGCCAGAAAUGGCUAGUUGCUGGGAGAUCAAAUCUUAACUUGACUUGGCAUAAGCCUCCCCGGCAACGGCGCCAGAAAUCCUUGUUGCUACCUCUUGAGCACUGCGUUGAUUUUCCCUUGAAGAGGAAAGGGCGAUGCAGUAAAGUAGCGUAAGUAUUUCCCUCGGUUUUUGAGAACCAAGGUAUCAAUCCAGUAGGAGGCCACGCUCGAGUCCCACGCACCUACACAAACAAAUAAGAACCUCGCAACCAACGUGAUAAAGGGGUUGUCAAUCCCUUCAUGGUCACUUACGAGAGUGAGAUCUGAUAGAUAUGAUAAGAUAAUAUUUUUGGUAUUUUUUAUGAUAAAGACUAAAAGUAAAGAUUGCAAAAUAAACAAAGAUAGAAAUAGCUUAUUGACGGAAGAUUAAUAUGAUGGAAAAUAGACCCAGGGGCCAUAGAUUUCACUAGUGGCUUCUCUCAAGAUGGCAUAAGUAUUACGGUGGGUGAACAAAUUACUGUCGAGCAAUUGAUAGAAUUGAGCAUAGUUAUGAGAAUAUCUAGGUAUGAUCAUGUAUAUAGGCAUCACGUCCGCGACAAGUAGACCGAAACGAUUCUGCAUCUACUACUAUUACUCCACACAUCGACCGCUAUCCAGCAUGCAUCUAGAGUAUUAAGUUCAAAAGAACAGAGUAAUGCUUUAAGCAAGAUGACAUGAUGUAGAGGGAUAAACUCAUGCAAUAUGAUAUAAACCCCAUCUUGUUAUCCUCGAUGGCAACAAUACAAUACGAGCCUUGCUGCCCCUGCUGUCACUAGGAAAGGACACCGCAAGAUUGAACCCAAAGCUAAGCACUUCUCCCAUUGCAAGAAAGAUCAAUCUAGUAGGCCAAACCAAACUGAUAAUUCGAAGAGACUUGCAAAGAUAACCAAUCAUACAUAAAAGAAUUUAGAGAAGAUUCAAAUAUUGUUCAUAGAUAAUCUGGAUCAUAAACCCACAAUUCAUCGGUCUCGACAAACACACCGCAAAAGAAGAUUACAUCGAAUAGAUCUCCAAGCAAAUCAAGGAGAACUUUGUAUUGAGAUCCAAAGAGAGAGAAGAAGCCAUCUAGCUAAUAACUAUGGACCCGAAGGUCUGAGGUAAACUACUCACGCAUCAUCGGAGAGGCUAUGGUGUUGAUGUAGAAGCCCUCCGUGAUCAAUGCCCCCUCCGGCAGGACGCCGGAAAAGGCCCCAAGAUGGGAUCUCACGGGUACAGAAGGUUGUGGCGGUGGAAUUAGGUUUUCGUGGAUGCUUCUGAUGGUUUGGGGGUACGGAGAUAUAUAUAAGAGGAAGAAGUAGGUCGGUGGAGCCACGAGGGGCCCACGAGGGUGGAGGGCGCGCCCUGGGGGGGUAGGCGCGCCCCCCUACCUCGUGGCCUCCUUGAUGAUUUCUUGACAUCCACUCCAAGUCCUGUGGAUCACGUUUGUUCCAAAAAUCACGUUCCCGAAGGUUUCAUUCCGUUUGGACUCCGUUUGAUAUUCCUUUUCUGCAAAACACUGAAAUAGGCAAAAAAACAGCAAUUUGGGCUGGGCCUCUGGUUAAUAGGUUAGUCCCAAAAAUAAUAUAAAAGUGUAUAAAUAAGCCCAUUAAACAUCCAAAACAGAAUAUAUAAUAGCAUGGAACAAUCAAAAAUUAUAGAUACGUUGGAGACGUAUCAGCGGUGUGCGGGAAAAAUCACACUUGACGUGGUAUUCGGCAUGCCGGAGAAUUAUCGGUCCGAAGAAAUCACCUUCUAAGUGGCUCGUUUCAGCAGCGGAUACCACGCCCUGUUGGGGCGAGAUGCUUUUACACGCUUCCCAGUUAUACCUCAUUACGGGUACAUGAAGCUCAAAAUGCCCGGAUCAAACGGCAUAAUUACUCUUGUCAGUGAUCCAGACAUAGCACUCCGCGCCGAAAACAAAACCGCAUCCCUGGCCCUUGAGGCAUUAUCUGAAGCCCUCGCGGCCGAAGAAUUAACCGCACUGCGCUCUACGGUGGAUAGGGACGAUGUGAUCUUAGACAAACGACCCAAAUCCACCUCCUUCAAACCGGCAGAAGAAAUAGUCAAAUUCCAGGUCCACCCAACGGACCCCAAGAAGACAGCAUCCAUUGGAGCACAACUAGACCCAACGGUCGACGCCGCACUACGGGAUUUCCUUCGUGAAAACUGGGAUAUAUUCGCCUCGCACCCUUCUGACAUGCCUGGAAUCCCACGCGAGCUGGCCGAACAUAGCCUCAAUAUAUUAAAGGAAUACAAACCAGUCAAACAAGCACUGCGACGCUUUUCCGAACCCAAACGCCAAGCUAUGGGGGAGGAGCUGGCCAAGCUAAUCGAGGUCAGAUUCAUCAGAGAAAUAAAACAUCCGGACUGGCUGGCAAACCUGGUGAUGGUACCAAAGAAGGACAAAUCCUGGCGCAUGUGCGUCGAUUUUAAAGACAUCAAUAAGGCUUGCCCUAAGGAUCCCUUCCCCCUCCCCCGCAUUGAUCAAAUCAUCGAUACUACCGCGGGACAUGACUCACUGUGUUUCCUUGAUGCAUAUUCCGGAUACCAUCAAAUCAAAAUGAAGGAGUCCGAUCAAGCUGCAAACGGCAUUUAUUACCCCAUAUGGGCCAUUCUGCUUCAACACCAUGCCCUUCGGGCUCAAGAACGCCGGCGCCACAUACCAACGCAUGAUUCAAACAUGCCUGGAGAAACAGAUCGGCAAGAUAGUUGAAGCUUAUGUGGACAAAGUCAUCAUCAAAACUAGGCACGUCGAAACACUAAUAGACGAUUUACGUCUCACAUUCGACAACCUCCGCGCGUAUGACAUUAAGCUCAAUCCGGAAAAGUGUGUUUUCGGCGUCCCCGCUGGAAAACUGUUGGGCUUCAUCGUUUCCAAUAGAGGAAUUGAAGCAAAUCCAGCCAAAAUUCGAGCUCUGUCUCAACUGGCCACGCCAACGGACCUCAAACAAGUCCAAAAACUUGCGGGUUGCAUGGCAGCUCUAAGCCGCUUCAUCUCCAGAUUGGGAGAAAAGGCACUGCCACUCUAUCGCCUUCUAUGGAGAACCGAUCACUUCGAGUGGACAGACGCGGCAACAGCCGGACUGGAGGAAAUAAAAACCCUUCUAGCGAACAACCCAAUCCUGGCCGCGCCAAACGUCGGCGAACCAAUGUUAUUAUACAUAUCGGCAACACAUCAAGUGGUGAGCGCCGUGCUCGUCGUUGAACGAGAACAGGACGGACACAAAUUCCCGCUUCAGAAGCCAGUAUACUAUGUAUCCACUGUCCUUACACCAUGAAAAUCCCGGUACCCCCAUUAUCAAAAGAUAGCAUACGCGGUCUUCAUGGCAUCCCGAAAGCUCCGACACUACUUCCAGGAGUGUUCGAUCACGGUGGCUUCCAAAGUACCACUCAACGACAUUAUAAACAACCGCGAUGCCAUGGGCCGGAUUGCCAAAUGGGCCAUUGAGCUCCUUCCAUUUGAUAUUACGUACAAACCACGUCGAGAUGUUAAAUCCCAAGUACUGGCUGACUUCGUCGCCGAAUGGACAGAGGCCGAACUCCCUAAAGAGUACGGCACAUAUUCCAAUUGGGUUAUGUAUUUCGAUGGCUCCAAAAUGCUGGCGGGGCUAGGAGCGGGCGUCGUUUUAACGUCCCCUACUGGAGACGUCGUUCAGUACAUACUCCAAAUACUAUACACAGAUUCCAACAACGCAGCCGAAUACGAGGCCUUAUUGCAUGGUCUCCGGAUGGCUAUCUCCAUGGGCAUACAACGCCUGGAGGUGCGCGAGGACUCAAACCUGGCAAUAUCUCAAAUAAAUGGAGAUUUCGAUGCCAAGGUUCCAAAGAUGGCAGCUUAUCGUAAUGUCGUCCUAAAAAUGUCGGCUCGGUUCGAGGGGCUCGAGUUCCAUCACAUGGCCCGAGAGAGUAAUCAAGCGCCGGACGUUCUCGGUCGCAUUGGCGCCAAGCGUGACCCCGUCCCACCUAAUAUCUUUCUGGAAAAACUUUCCAAGCCAUCCGUGGUGUGGCAGGGGGAAAGCAUCGACACUAGUCUGGAUCCGAAGACAACUCCAGAUUUCGAACACAUAGAUAUCAUCGGCGGCUCAGCCACCGAAAUAACACCGUCGGCCCAUCUCAUUAUGGCAGUCAUUGCCCCAUGGACCGAACCCUUCUUGGCCUACCUUAAUAGGAAGGAACUUCCUGAGGAUCAGAAUGAGGCGCACCGCAUUGUCCGGCGUUCGAAGGCCUAUAAGGUUCACGAUGGAAAACUAUAUAAGAAAAGCGCUACCGGAGUCCUUCAAAGAUGUAUCUCCGAGGAGGAGGGGCGACAGCUCCUGGCUGAGAUUCACGCCGGUCUUGGCGGGCACCACGCUGCAGCUCGGGCCCUUGUUAGGAAGGCCUUCCGUACAGGGUUUUAUUGGCCGACGGCCCGAGCAGAUGCCCAGGACCUUGUCCAACGUUGCGUCGGAUGCCAACUCUUCGCCAACCAAAGCCAUAUGCCCCCCACUGCCCUACAAACAAUCCCCAUCACUUGGCCUUUUGCGGUCUGGGGACUGGAUAUGGUUGGACCCCUUAAAGGAGGAAGCCAUAAGAAAAAAUAUUUGUUGGUCAUGGUGGAUAAAUUCGCUAAGUGGAUAGAGGCCAAACCAGUUAAAACGGCUGAAUCUAGGCCGGUGAUAGAAUUCAUAUCCGGCGUUGUACACCGUUAUGGUGUUCCGCACAGUAUCAUCACCGAUAACGGCUCCAACUUCACAGCCGACGAAGUAAAAACCUGGUGCGCCAAUCUGGGCAUCAAGCUCGAUUACGCCUCUGUCUAUCACCCACAGACAAAUGGUCAAGUCGAAAGAGCCAAUGGUCUCAUUAUGAGCGGCAUUAAGCCUAGACUAGUGCGGUCUUUGAAGGAACCAGACAAGCACUGGGUUGAGGAGCUCGACUCCGUACUCUGGGGGCUGCGGACCACUCCCAAUCGCACUACCGGAUACACACCUUUUUUCAUGGUGUACGGCGCAGAGGCGGUACUACCCUGUGACAUUAUUCAUGACUCACCUCGAGUGUGCAUGUACGAAGAGAGAGAGGCCGAGCUCGAUCGGCAGGACAGCUUACAUGCCCUGGAGGAGGAGCGCGAUGUCACAAAAGCCCAUUCCGCAUUUUAUCAACAGCAGGCUCACAGGUAUCAAAGCAGAGAAGUGCGGGCCAAAACUUACAACGUCGGCAAACUCGUUCUACGCCUGACGGAGAAGAAAAAGGACAAACUCAAGCCCAAGUGGGAAGGUCCCUUCAUCAUCGACAAAGUUCUCACCGGAGGGGCGUACCGCUUGCGUGAUGUGUCAGACAAUCGACUAGAGCCGAACCCCUGGAAUGCGGCCAGACUCCGAAGAUUCUAUGCCUAGCGUUGAACUCUUUGUUCGUCUCCUUCCUCUUAUUGUUUUCAUCAUUUUUUCUCUCUUUUCGUUUUUUCUCUUUAGCCUUAAAAAGCUUCCGUGCGGUUAGACCUUGCACCCCCAACGCAUACAUCUUCAAGUAUGUACGUCUAUUAUACCUGGGGGCUUCUUGGACAGAAGCUUGCUAUUACUAUUUUCCGAGCAUCAAGCUCAUCACAUAUGCGUUUUCUCCCAUAUGUACCUUUUCUUUGCCAUUAUAUGCAUCGAUAUGACUUAAGUUUUGGCCAAGCUGGGUUGCCUGGCUCCUGUGCUUAUGCCCUACGUUCACGUUAGUUCGGCUAGGGCAUAAAGGGAGCACCUCUGCGAUUGUUACUGCCGGGUCAUCCGGAUGUGUACCUCAGACUGGGUGAAGCCGAAAGCUAGCAUUCUUAAGGGAAUAUUCGGUCGGUGAACUAAAGAUGUUUUUGCACUCGUUCCGUUGUGAACCCCCAGAAGCUAUACACACUAUGAUUUUUUUCAUCACAGUCCGGACAUGCACAUAGAUGCAUGCACACCCAGGGAAAGGAACCCUUAACGGAGCUAUUCUCCCUGGAAGAUGUUUCUUACAAUUUUAAUGUAAUAUAACAUAACUAGCCGGAUACAACUUGUCUGUUCAAGCAACUAUGCCCCCUACGCCUGGUUUCCACGCAUACCCCGGUUUAUUUUGCCGCUCAGGUAUUCGGAAACACUCCGCGCCUUCGGGUCGAGAGGUCGAAGCAAAAAGGUCGGCCAUGACAAUCGUUUUACAAUCGAGCUAGAAGGAAAGUACAUAGUCACUUAGGACUUAAAAACUUCCUCCUCUAUACCGUCCAACAGGCAGUCUAAUUUACAAUCAUGUUGGGAAUACCUAGCAGCCACCUCUACUUGGUCAUAUACUAAACUAACGGGAAUUUCUUCCCCAUUUGACCCUAGCGGUCUGACCCGGGCCAUGUGAUUCAGAUCCAGCUUGGUAUACCGCGUUUUUACCAUGGCCCAGGCCUCUCGUGCACCCUCUCAGCAGGCCGAUAUCUUCCAUAGUCGGAUACGCCGCCGCGCUCCCUUGAACAGCUCUACAAGCUUCUCCAUACUCCCUGGAGGGGAGGCGGAAGGCCAUAAGGCCUUGGCUACACUCCGCAUUGCCUGCCGAGCUUGCUUGUGCAACUGCGACAGCCCUUGCAGAAGAUCACUUGAUGAUCCGGACACCUCCUCUUCGGGACGGCCCGUCAACAUACCUGCAAUCACAGCUAUAUCAGCUACUUUUACCUCCAAACUGUUAUAAGGUAAAUUCGGCCACAUACUGAAUAUGCCGCCUCGCAGCUUUUUGUUCUCCUUCACGGAGUCGGCUAGCUGGGCCCGCACAUCCUUCAGCUCUUCACCUAGCUGGGUGUUUGCAUCUUGGAGUUUGUUUUUCUCCUGUCUGACACGGGUCAAAACCCGCUCGCCUGCGGCAUGCAGUCUUUUCGACUCUUUUUCCUCCAGUUGAUCCGAUGAUCCUAUUAUGAGAUAAAGCCGCAGUGUUAACACGGUCGCUACACAAUAACUGUUUCUCGAUGGAGGGAAAUAUUACCGGAAGACGCCGCCUUGGAUUUUUUCCAGUUCGGCGGUCACUGCGUUUAACUGCGUCCGGCACUUUUCUAGCUCUUGGGCUAGCACGUCGUUCUUCUCAGACAGAACCUGAUUGUGCAGCGAUCCUCAAAUCAGUUGCUCCAACAACUUUAAGUCUCGGGGGCUACUGGCAUACGGUUAUCAUACUGAGACACAGUAAACUGACCUGCACAUAUUUUAAAUGCUGGUUUGUGGCUCUGCCAAGCCCAUCUCGAGCAGCUCGGAUGUAUGCAUCAGCCGAGCUGAAGGCAUUAAACGCCUCUUUCGAAAAGCGGGGGUCUCGUAAAAUGGCCCUCCGGCGCCGAUGAUUCAUGGCGCUUUCCACUUCCGAGUUGGUGGCGGACAUAUUUUUCGAGCCCUCGGCCGAAGGACAGUCCGGCGUCACUCCCAUAUCGGCCCCCGUCCCCUCGGCUGGGGAUGGAUCCCAGCUGUUGGGGGUAUUGUUGACCGGACCCCCGGACACAGUCCGGCGGACUCUUUUCCUGAUACGGGAUGAACAUGAAAGUCACAGUUGGAUGCGACUAUUAAAAAACAUAUUUACAAACCCAUACCUCUUUGACGAGGGCCCGACCGUGUCUUCGUUUGCCUUCCUCUUCGAAGGCUUGCCCAGUGCGGGAGCCGCUCUCUUCGGAGUCGCUCCUGAAGUAGCACGGUAUGUCAAACGCCUCCCCUUUGAAGCACGAGACAGUGCGGUGGGUGAGGCGGAACGAGGGAACCCUUUCAGGGGAGAUGUCUCAUGACUACUUACGUGCGAAGCGGGGAGAAGACCAGGUUAAUCGGUGAUGAUGGCCACUUCGGUGUCGUCGUAGCUCGCCUGGUAAAACACGCCAUUCUCGAGCACCACGAAUAUAUCCGGAUCCUCUUCGAAUCCGGGGUCAAGGUCCCGAUCGUGGCCCUCGGGCUGCGGGGCGGGGCUGUGAAGCCCCUCGGAAAUCUUUCGCCAGUGCUGUUACAAAUGGACGGGUUAAUAUUCAUUGAACGAAGCUCAGGGAGUGGAAUGAGUAGAGCAGAAGAGUUGGGGGCUUACCCAGCUAGGAGGACUGUACAUGCAAUAUCCUUCUCUGUGCGUGAUGCGCAGGAACUCCUCUUCCUCACCCUUGAACAGUUCGGCCAAUAUUUUGGCUAGCGCGGCAGGGGUGUCCGGACCUUUCCUGCCGCAGCGGGAGGCGUCAUCUUCCUCAUUGUAGUUCCACAUGGGAAGUCCUCUGUAUUGAAGUGGCUGGACCCCCGCACUAUGGAGGUCGCCAUCACUUCGACUAUCGUAUAUCUGGACUGGGAAAGCGUCCUGAUCUUGCUCAGGAGUUGGCGUACUUCCGCACUGUCUUCCUCCUCGAGGCUCCAAGGACGCCAGCUGCGGUGUUUCUUUAGAGGAACACUUGCAAACUUGGGGAGACCCCUCCAGACUGGAUCUGGAAGUACGACGUCCUUGAUGUAAAACCACUCAGUGGUCCACUCUUCGGAAGCUUUCUUCGGUGUGCCGGAUAGGUAUCCGGUCUCAGCAAUACGCCAUAUUUCAUCUCCGCCCACUUCAAAAAUUGAUCCCUCGUGGUUACGCAGGACAAGACAAAAUAACCUUCUCCACAGAUCAAAAUGGGCCUCACAACCCAGGCAUAGUUCGCAUAAAGCGACAUAGCCUGCGAUAUGCAGGACGGAGGCUGGGGUAAAGUUGUGCAGCUGGAGGCCAUAAUAUUCCAGAAGCCCUCGGAGGAAUGGGUGAAUUGGAAAUCCCACGCCUCUUAGCAAAUAGGGGACGAAGCACACUCGUUCCCCCGCAGAUGGAUUGGGGAAAUCCUCCGCCUGGGUUUUGCCGUUGAAGGAAGCCAACCCUGCUCGAACUGGGACCAGAUCUGCAGGAGGGAGAAACCCCUACGUUUGCAACUUCUCUAGCUGACCAUGGGAUACGGAGCACCUCUCCCACUCGCCUUUCUCUGGGUCGGAAUGAGAGAAGGAGCGGGGAAUGCUAGCCAUGGUGGAAUGAUCUUUCCUAGCAAUCUCUGAGCAUUUUCUCCGCGUGGUGCCGAAUGGGCCUGAGAUCCAAUCUCUUUAAAUAGACGAUCUUUCUUGCGUGGCCGGGGUGUUAUUCGCAAAAAAUACCCUGACCAUCCGCAUUCGCUCGACACAUGGAAGCUGAAGUCACCGAUGCAUAGAAGCCGAGGGGUGCGACAUUGAAUUAAAAGCCGAAUACAUUACUUGGAAGUCGUCGGAGGAGGAACCUACCUUGCAAUGCCAAAGACAAUCUAUGCGCCGAACACCUCGUCAUUGAAGACUGGUUCAGGGGCUACUGAGGGAGUCCUGGACUAAGGGGUCCUCGGGCGUCCGGCCUGUUAGCCAUGGCCGGACUGAUGGGCUGUGAAGAUACAAAGACCGAAGACCACACCCGUGUCCGCAUGGGACUCUCCUUGGCGUGGAAGGCAAGCUUGGCGACCAAAUAUGUAGAUUCCUUUCCUUUGUAACCGACCUUGUGUAACCCUAGAUCCUCCUGGUGUCUAUAAACCGGAGGACUUAGUCCGGAGGGGGGAUAUACUCAUUACCAUAGUCAUACAGGCUAGACUUCUAGAGUUAACCAUUACGAUCUCGUGGUAGAUCAACUCUUGUAAUACUCAUAUUCAUCAAGAUCAAUCAAGCAGGAAGUAGGGUAUUACCUCCAUAGAGAGGGCCCGAACCUGGGUAAACAUCAUGUUCCCUGUCUCCUGUUACCAUUGACCUUAGACGCACAGUUCGGGACCCCCUACCCGAGAUCCGCCGGUUUUGACACCGACACUAACCACUCUGCGCUCCAAAGUGGACAGAGACGAUGUAAUCCUCGACAAGAGGCCCAAAUCCAUAUCUUUCAAACCAGCAGAUGAAAUAGUCAAAUUUCAAGUGCACCUGACAGAUCCAAACAAAACAGCAUCCAUUGGAGCACAGCUGGAUCCGACGAUCGACGCUAGCUACGAGCAUUCCUCCGUGAAAAUUGGGACAUUUUUUCCUGGCAUCCUUCGGACAUGCCCAGAAUCCCACGACGACUGGCCGAACACAGCCUCAACAUAAUAAAAGGGUUCAAACCAGUCAAGCACACACUACGGUGCUUUUCCCAGCCCAAACGACAAGCUAUGGGCGAGGAGCUAGCCAAGCUACUUGAAGCCGGGUUCAUUAGAUAAAUCAAGCACCCGGACUAGCCAGCCAACCUAGUCAUGGUACCGAAGAAGGAUAAAUCCUGGCGCCUCUGUAUCAAUUUCAAAGACCUCAAUAAGGCUUGCCCUAAGGACCCCUUCCUGCUGCCCCGCAUUGACCAAAUCAUUGACGCAACCGCAGGACAUGACUCAUUGUGUUUCCUCGAUGCAUACUCCGGAUACCAUCAAAUUAAGAUGAAGGAGUCCGAUCAGGCCGCAAUGGCAUUCAUUACCCCUUAUGGGCCUUUCUGCUUCAACACUAUGCCUUUCGGCUCAAAAACGUGGGCGCCACUUACCAACGCAUGAUUCAAACAUGCCUGGAAAAACAAAUUGGCAAGAUAGUGGAGGCAUACAUGGAUGAUGUAGUCAUCAAGGCUAAACAUGUCAAAUCAUUGGUGGACGAUCUACGCCUCACAUUCGACAACCUCCGAACAUAUGACAUACGGCUCAAUCCGGAAAAAUGUGUCUUCGGCGUUCCAGCCGGAAAACUAUUCGGGUUCAUUGUUUCCAAUAGAGGAAUCGAAGCGAACCCAGCCAAAAUUUGAGCCCUGUCACAAUUGGCAAUGCCAACAGACCUAAAGCAGGUCCAAAAACUAGUUGGUUGUGUGGCGGCCUUAAGCCGCUUCAUCUCCAGAUUAGGAGAAAAGGCGCUACCACUUUAUCGACUACUCCGGCGCCUCGACCACUUUGAAUGGAUGGAUGCGGCUACAGCCGGACUGGAAGAAAUAAAAGCCUUGUUAGCAGGCAACCCAACCCUAGCCGCACCAGGUGUCGGCAAGCCUAUGUUGCUCUACAUAUCUGCGACUCACCAGGUAAUAAGCUCCGUACUCGUCGUUGAACGAGAGGAAGAGGGACACAAAUUCCCCAUACAGAAACCGGUGUACUAUGUAUCGGCGGUCCUUACACCAUGCAAAUCUCGAUACCCGCACUAUUAGAAUAUAGUGUAUGCGAUCUUCAUGGCAUCUCGGAAGCUACGACACUACUUUCAAGAGUGCUCGAUCACAGUGGCAUCCGAAGUACCACUCAAUGACAUCAUAAAUAAUUGGGACGCCAUCGACCGCAUAGCCAAAUGGGCCAUCGAGCUCUUACCAUUUGAAAUAACAUACAAGCCGUGCCGAGCUAUUAAAUCUCAGGUGUUGGCCGACUUUGUCGCCGAGUGGACGGAAGCCAAACUCCCUAAAGAGUACAACACAUACUCCAACUGGGUAAUGUACUUCGACGGCUCUAAAGUGUUAGCCGGAUUAGGGGCUGGUGGCAUCUUGACAUCCCCUACAGGGGACACAGUCUGCUACGUGUUACAAAUCAUGUAUACGGACUCCAACAAUGCGGCCGAAUACGAGGCACUACUACAUAGUCUCUGAAUGGUUGUCUCUAUGGGCAUACAGCGCCUAGAGGUGCGUGGGGACUCGAACCUCGCAAUAUCCCAAAUAAAUGGAGAAUUCGAUGCGAAGGAUCCAAAGAUGGCGGCAUAUCGAAAUGUCGUACUCAAAAUAUCAGCUCGGUUUGAGGGGCUCGUGUUCCAUCACAUUGCUCGAGACAGUAAUCAGGCAGCGGGCAUCCUUGCUCGAAUGGCGGCUAAAUGCAAUCCCAUCCCACCUAACACCUUUAUGGAAAGGCUCUUCAAGCCAUUCGUGGUAUGGCAGGACGAGAGCGGAAACACUAGUCCGGAGCCAAUCAUACCCCCAGAUGCCGAACACAAUUCUGAUAUCAUCAGGGGAUCGGGCACCGAAAUGACACCUUCUGCCCAUGUAAUCAUGGCUGUCAUGGCUCCAUGGACCGAACCCUUCCUGGCCUACCUUAAUAGGAAGGAGCUCCCUGAUGACCAGAAUGAGGCCCGUCGCAUAGUCUGACGCUCUAAAGCCUACAAAGUUCACGAAGGUGAACUCUACAAGAAAAGUACUACUGGAGUUCUUCAAAGAUGCAUCUCCGAAGAGGAGGGACGGCAACUCUUGGCCGAAAUACAUGCUGGUCUUGGUGGCCAUCACGCUGCAGCUCGGGACCUCGUAAGCAUGGCCUUCCGUACAGGUUUCUUUUGGCCAACGGCCCAAGCAUAUGCACAGGCCCUUGUACAGCGUUGCGUAGGAUGUCAGAUUUUCGCCAAUCAAAGUCAUAUGCCGCCCACUGCCUUAAGAAUAGUCCCCAUUACUUGGCCUUUUGCGGUCUAGGGGCUAGACAUGGUCGGACCCCUUAAAGGGGGAAGCCACAAGAAGAAAUAUUUGCUGGUUAUGGUGGAUAAAUUCACUAAGUGGAUAGAGGCCAAACCAGUAAAAACGGCUGAAGUCGGUCCGGUGAUCGACUUUAUAUCCAGCAUGGUCCACCGUUAUGGUGUCCCACACAGCAUCAUUACUGACAAUGGCUCUAAUUUCACAGCCGAUGAGGUAAAAAAUUGGUGUGCUAAUUUGGGCAUUAAGCUCGAUUACACCUCCGUAUAUCACCCUCAAACAAAUGGUCAGGUCGAACGGGCUAAUGGCCUGAUAAUGAGUGGUAUCAAACCCAGGCUAGUGUGAUCCCUACGGGAGUCAUAUAAACAAUGGGUGAAGGAACUCGAUUCCGUACUCUGGGGACUGCGGACUAUGCCCAAUCGUACAACCGGAUACACUCCCUUUUUACGGUGUACGGCGCAGAGGCUGUCUUACCCUGCGACAUUAUUCAUGACUCACCUCGAGUGCGCAUGUAUGAAGAGAGAGAGAGGCCAAGCUCGAUCAGCAGGACGACCUAGAUGGCCUGGAGGAGGAGCGUGACAUUGCAAAGGCUCGUUCUGCAUUCUAUCAACAACAGGCUCGGCGAUACCAAAGCAGAGAAGUGCGGGCCAAGACUUAUAAUGUCGACGAACUCGUUCUACGCCUCCCAGAGAAGAAGAAGGAUAAGCUCAAACCAAAAUGGGAGGGCCCCUUUAUUAUAGAUGAAGUUCUCACAUGAGGGGCCUAUCGCCUUCGUAAUGCAUCGGGUAAUCACCUAGAGCCGAAUCCAUGGAACGCUGCUUGGCUCCGAAGAUUCUACCCAUAAGUGUGGCCACGUUUCUUUUUCGUUUUUUCUCCUCUUCAUUUCUUUUUAUUUCCUCGUUUUUGUACGAUUUCCAGGAUAUGUUCGGAUAGGCCAAACACUUGAGGGGUACACAUCCUAAAAUGUAUAUACCCCAAAAUGACUGGGGGCUUCUUUUACCGAAGCUUAAUAUCAUUCAGAGCCUGGAGCUCACAAUAUAUACGCCGUUUGCUCAUAUACACCUUUUUUGCCAUUAUAUGCACCUCUAUGACUUAAGUUUUAGCCAAGCUGGGUUGCCUCGCUCCUGUGUUUAUGCCCUACGUUCCCGAUUGUUCGGCUAGGGCGUAAAGAGAGCACCUCUGUGAUUUUUACAACCGGGUAAUCCGGACCUGUACCUCAGACGGGUGAAGCCGAAAGCUAGCAUUCUUAAGACAAUAAGUGGUCGAUAAUCAAACGAUAGAUUGUUACGUUCUUGUAACUUCUUAAAUGCGGGACAGUUCUUCUGUGCUGCGGAUCAAAGCCCAGGCACGCACAUUUAAAGCAUGCCAACCCAAGGAAAGGAACCCUUAACGGAACUAUUCUCCUUGGAAUAUGUUUCUUACAUAUGUAAUAUAACAUACACCCUGAACUCAAAUUUUUUGUCUGUUAGAGCACAAUGACUAGGUUGCCUGGUUUCCGGACAUAGUGAAUGCUUCUUUUCAUUCCAAAAUAGUAUCCGGAAACACUCCACCAUUUUGGUUUGGAGGUUAAAGCCGAAAGCCUGCGAUGACAAACUUUCCACAUGUUCGCAUAAAGGCACAGGUUGAUCAUAAAGUACAUUAAUGCAUCGAAUCAAAUGCCUAUUCCUUAUCUAUUCCAUCUAUAAGACUGUCCAACCUACAGUCUUCCUGUGAAUACUUCGCAGCCAUUACUUGGUCAUACACCAAAUUCAAUGGAAUUUCUUUCCCGUCUGGUCCCUGCGGUCCCACUCAGGCCAUAUGAUUAGGAUCCAGCUUGGUGAAGCGUGUUUUCACCAUCGCCCAGGCUUCUCGUGCGCCUUCACGGCAGGCAGAUAUCUUCCAUAGCUCAUAGCAGCGCCGGGCACCUCUGGACAGGUUUGCCAAGCCCUCCAUACUUUCUGGAGGGGUAUCGGGUGGCCAUAAAGCCUUGACCACACUCCUCAUGGCUUUCUGGGCCCGAGCAUGUACCGCGGACAGUUCCUUCAGCACGUCGCCUUGAAAUCCGGAUACUUCUUCUUCCGGCCGACCAGUUAGCAGACCUGCAGCAACAGAGUCAUGACAUUCCGAAUUAUGGACUAAACAUGAGCCCCUAUGGUGGUUUAAAAAAAGAGGGAAGACAUACCAAACAUGUCGCCCUUCAACCUUUCAUUUUCCUUCCGGACGGCCGAUAGUUGAGCCUUCAAGCUCUCUAUCUCUUCGGAUUGUUUGUCUUUUUCAUCCUCGUGUUUGUUCUUCUCGGACGUGCUCAUUGCGGCCUUUUUCAUUUCCGCCAGAUCGGCAGUGACAACAUUCAACUGCGUCUGGUUUGUUUUCAGCUCCUGGGAUAGUGUAGUAUUCUUUUUCCUUAAGAACCUGCAGGAUAAAUCGAUUCUUAAACCGGUUAUUCUCGCCGCUUCAAGUGUCGGGGGCUACUGGCAUAUGACUAUCAAAAUUGCACAAACUUUUACCUGUAUGUCCUUUGAGAACAGCUGAGUGACUCCGGCAAGUCCGUAUCGAGCGGCCCGGAUAUAUGCGUCCACCGAACUAAGUGCGGUAAAUUCCUGCUCGGAAAAAGCUGGAGCGCGCAUGGCUUCUUUCAGUCGACGGUGAUUCAUUAUGCUCUCCACCUCGGAAUUUGUGACGGAUAUGUCAUCCGAAUCUUCAUGAGGUGGGGGAAUCAGCAUUGCAUCGGCCCUCGUCCUAGCUGACGAGUCCGGCGCCAGAUUGGCUGACAUUCGGCGAAUAGGGCGUUUUCCCACAGUUGCUGCGUGCUCCUCCUGAAUCAUGAAUAAAAAGGGACUUUAGCAAUCCGAACUCGUGCUCAGGCAUGUAUCAAGCGGACAUACCUCUUGGAAGACUAUGAGGCCUCUACGGUGCCCCUGGUCUCUUUUUGUUUUAAGCGAUUACCCUGCACCGGGGCUGCUCUCGAAGGGGUGCGGCCCGCCGCGCACCGAUCCUAUAAAAUUACGGUUGGUAUAAGGGAUAAAGGCGCAAGUGGGGAUUUCUUUCUGAAAGAUCUUUAAAUACUUACGAUGGAGAAAGGAUAGGGGCGGGGAUAGUCUGCUAUGGAGAGGUUGGAUGCAUCUUUUUAUAGUAAUGGCCAUAACCUCAAUUAUCGAGAGCCCAGUAUGGGCUAAUAAUCUGACCUUGCUGACCAGCCUUUUUAUUUCUGCACUGUCCUCCUCCUUGGGACUUCGGGGACGCCAGUUGAGGCGCUUCUUUAGGGGAGCGCUGGAAAAUUCGGGAAGGCCGCGCCGAACUGGGUCCGGUAGUGGGACGUCAUCCAUGUAAAACCACUCCGAAGACCAUUGUGGAUAUGUCUCUUUGGGAGUUCCCACGGGGUAUCCGGGUCCGGCUAUACGCCAUACUUCGGCACCGCCCACUUCAAAUAUGGAACCUCCUCGAUGGCGGGGGACAAGACAAAAGAACUUUUUCCAUAGUUUGAAAUGGGCCUCAAUGCCCAAGAACAGCUCGCAGAGGGCAACGAAACCUAAGAUGUGCAGAAUUGAACCUGGGGUGAGGUUGUGCAGCUGAAUGUCAUAAAAUUCCAAUAGGCCCCUGAGAAAGGGAUGGAUUGGAAAGCCUAAGCCCCGUAACAGAAAUGGGACGAAGCACACCCUCUCCUCCUUAUUGGGGUUGGGGAAAUUUUCAACCAUUACGUCAUUGCCGAUGGAGGCCAAUCCCGCUCGAACGGAGACUAGAUCUGCGAGGGGAAGAUAGCCAUGCGUCUGGAGUCGACUCAGUUGAAGAUGAGGCACUGAGCAGCUUUGCCAAUCGCCCUCUUGAGGGCCAUGGGGACGCGAGGAAGAGCCUGGGGCGCUGGCCAUGUUUGGAGGCUUUUUGUGGCUGAUCUUGGUGUUUCCUCUGCUCGAUGUGGAUGGCACUUUGGAUUUGGUCUCUUUAUAUAGACGCCAUCCCUGCGUGGCUGGGUGUUUUAUUUUUAAUAAAAAAAUGGUGGACCGUUCGCAUUCGCUCGACAUGUGGAAAUCUAGGCGGCAACAGGAAGGAAUCAUAAAGGCAGAACACAGAGGUCAAAACCGGACUGUCGUCCAUCCGAAGUAUAAUGAAGAACCCGCCUUGCAAAGCCGAAGAUAUAAGCUGGAUACUACAUCAUCAUUGAAGGCAAGUUCGGGGGCUACUGAGGGAGACCUGGAUUCGGGGGUCCUCAGGUGUCUGGCCCACUCGAUAUGGGCCGGGCUGGUGGGCCGUGAAGAUAAACUGGAAGAUCAUUCCCCGUGUUCGGGUAGGACUCUUGGAUGCGUGGACGGAAAGAUUGGAGUCCGGAUGUAUUGUUUCCUUCCCUUGUAAACCGAUUAUGUACCCCUCCGGUGUAUAUAUAAACUGGAGGGUUAGGUCCGUAGGGAUCAUCAGAAUUCAUAUAGGCUAGACAUCUAGGGUUUAGCCAUUACGAUCCCGAGGUAGAUCGACUCUUGUACCCCAUAUACUCAUCAAAUACAAUCAAGCAGGAUGUAGGGUUUUACCUCCAUUAAGAGGGCCCGAACCUGGGUAAACAUCGUGUUCCCAUGUCCCUUGUUAUCUUCGAUCCUCAGACGCACAGUUCGGGACCCCCUACCCGAGAUCGGCCGGUUUGGACACCGACGGUACUGUUGUGAACUCAUUAUUUAUUUAUAUUGGUGUAAUAUCUACUGUAUUCCAAAUUUUCCAUGGUUCAUACCCCCCCCCCCCGAUACUAGCCAUAGAUGCAUCAAAAUAAGCAAACAACACGCGAAAACAGAAUCUAUCAAAAACAGAACAGUCUGUAGCAAUCUGGAUAUUUCAAAUACUUAUGCAACUCUAAAAAUCCUAAGAAAAUAGGAGGUCCUAGAUAAUGUGUCUAUUAAUCUUCUGCAAAAAGAAUCAACUAAAAAGCACUCUCCAGCUAAAAAUAAGAAUUGUUUUCGUGAGGCGCAAAAGUUUCUGUUUUUCAGCAAGAUCAAAUCAACUAUCACCGUAGGUUAUCCCAUAGGUCUUACUUGGCACAAACACUAAUUAAAACACAAAACCACAUCUAACCAGGGGCUAGAUGAAAUAUUUAUUGCAAAACAGGACCUAAAAAGUAAGAACAAAAAUAAAAUUGGGUUGCCUCCCAACAAGCUCUAUUGUUUAACGCCCCUAGCUAGGCAUAAAAAACACGAAUAGAUCUAAGUGUUAUCAUCUUUGGCAUGCAAUCCAUAAGUGGCUCUCAUAAUAGAUUCAUAAGGCAAUUAAUUUUCUUUCCAGGGAAGUGUUACAUGCCUUUCCUUAACGGAAAUUGAAAUCUAAUGUUUCCUUCUUUCAUAUCAAUAAUUGUACCAAUCGUUCUAAGGAAAGGUCUACCAAGAAUAAUAGGACAUGUAGGAUUGCAAUCUAUAUCAAGAACAAUGAAAUCUACGGGCACAUAAUUCCUAUUAGCAACAAUAAGAACAUCAUUAAUCCUUCCCAUAGGUUUCUUAAUAGUGGAAUCCGCAAGAUGCAAAUUUAAAGAACAAUCAUCAAAUUCACGGAAACCUAACACAUCACAUAAAGUUUUGGGAAUCGUGGAAACACUAGCACCCAAAUCACACAAAGCAUAGCAUUCAUAAUCUUGAAUCUUAAUCUUGGUAGUAGGUUCCCACUCAUCAUAAAGUUUUCUAGGGAUAGAAACUUCCAAUUCAAGCUUUUCUUCAAAAUAUUGCAUCAUAGCAUCAACGAUAUGUUUAGUAAAAGCUUUGUUUUGAUUAUAAGCAUUAGGAGAAUUCAACAUGGAUUGAAACAAGGAAAUACAAUCAAUUAAAGAGCAAUUAUCAUAAUUAAAUUCCCUGAAAUCCAAAAGAGUGGGUUCAUUGCUACUUAAAGUUUUGACCUCUCGAAUCCCACUUUUAUCAACUUUUGCAUCAAGAUCUAAAAACUCCGAAUCAUUGGGACGCCUUCUAACUAAAGUUGACUCAUCUCCAGUCCCAUCUUUAUCAAGAUUUACAUUGGAAAACAAAGAUUCAAUAGGAGUCACAUCAAUUACUGUAAGAUCUUCAUCAUUAUUUUCACGGAAACUAGAAGAACACACUUUUAUAAGCCAAUAUUUCUUAGCACGCAUCUUAGCGUUCUUUCUUUGCACUCAUCAAUGGAAAUUCUCAUGGCUUUGAGAGACUCAUUGAUAUCAUGCUUGAGUGGAAUAGAUCUAAGUUUCAAAGAAUCAACAUCAAAAGAAAUUCCACGUUCCUAGCCAAAUCAUCAAUCUUAAGCAGUUUUUCUUCAAUCAAAGCGUUGAAAUUCUUUUGCGAACUAAUAAAUUAUUUAACACUAUUCUUAAAUUCAGAGGGGAUCUUAUUAUAAUUUCCUUAAGAAUUGUUGUAGGAAUUACCAUAAUUAUUAGAGGAAUUACUAGGAAACGGCCUAGGAUUAAAAUUACCUCUAUACGCGUUAUUACCAAAAUUGUUCCUACCAACAAAAUUCACAUCCAUAGAUUCAUUAUUGUUUUCAAUCAAAGUAGACAAAGGCAUAUCAUUAAGAUCAAUAGGAGCACUCUUAUUAGCAAACAAUUUCAUAAGAUCAUCCAUCUUUCCACUCAAAACAUUUAUUUCUUCAAUCGCAUGCACUUUUUUACUAGUGGAAGAUCUUUCGGUAUACCAUUGAGAAUAAUUAACCAUAAUAUUAUCUAGGAGUUUAGUAGCUUCUCCAAAAGUAAUUUCCAUAAAAGUGCCUCCCGCGGCCGAAUCUAAAAUAUUUCUAGAAGCAAAAUUUAAUCCGGCAUAAAAAAAUUGUAUAAUCAUCCACAAAUUCAAACCAUGAGUAGGGCAAUUUCUAAUCAUCAAUUUCAUCCUCUCCCAAGAUUGUGCAACAUGUUCAUGAUCAAGUUGCUUAAAAUUCAUAAUAUCGUUCCUAAGGGAGAUGAUCUUAGCGGGAGGAAAAUACUUGGAAAUAAAAGCAUCUUUACACUUGUUCCAUGAAUCAAUACUAUUUUUACGCAAAGAUGAAAACCAAGUUUUAGCGCGAUCCCUAAGCGAGAGCGGAAAUAGCUUCAACUUAACAAUAUCAUUAUCCACGGUUUUUUGCAUAUCACACAAAUCAACGAAAUUAUUUAGAUGGGAUGCGGCAUCCUCAUUGGUAAGGCCGGAAAAUUGAUCUUUCAUAACAAGAUUCAGCAAAGCAGUAUUAAUUUCACAAGAUUCCGCAUUAGCAUCGGGAGCAAUCGGAGUACUAAUAAAAUCAUUGUUGGUGGUGUUGGAAAAGUCAUACAAUUUGGUAUUAUCUUGAGCCAUCGUGACAAAGCAAGCAAUCCAACACACGAGCACACAAAAAGCAAACGAAGAAGACGAACGGAAGAGGGGCAAAGAAAAAGGCGAAUCUUUUCGAAAAUUGUUUUAGAAGUGGGGGAGAGGAAAACGAGAGGCUAAUGGUGAAUAAUGUAAUGCGAGGGAUGAGAGUUUAUGAUGGGUACUUGGUAUGUCUUGGCUUGGCGUAGAUCUCCCCGGCAACGGCGCCAGAAAUCCUUCUUGCUACCUCUUGAGCUUGCGUUGGUUUUUUCCUUGAAGAGGAAAGGGUGAUGCAGCAAAGUAGCGUAAGUAUUUUCCUCAGUUUUGAGAACCAAGGUAUCAAUCCAGUAGGAGACUACGCGCAAGCCACCGAAUACCUGCACAAACAAAUACCAACCUUGCACCCAACGCGAUAAAGGGGUUGUCAAUCCCUUCACGGUUAAUUGCAACGUGAGAUCUGAUGAAGAUGGAUAAACAGUAAAGUAAUAUUUUUGGUAUUUUUAGUUUAUGGAACGAAGAGUAAAAGAUUACAAAGAAAGUAAAUAGGAAACUAGAAUUGUAGAUCAGAAACUUAUAUGAUGGAAAAUAGACCCGGGGGGGCAUAGGUUUCACUAGAGGCUUCUCUCAAGAUAGAAAAUAUUACGGUGGGUGAACAAAUUACUGCCGAGCAAUUGAUAGAAAAGCACAAAGUUAUGAAGAUAUCUAGGGCAAUGAUAAUGAAUAUAGGCAUCACGUCCGUGUCAAGUAGACCGAAACGAUUCUGCAUCUACUACUAUUACUCCACACAUCGACCGCUAUCCAGCAUGCAUCUAGAGUAUUAAGUUCAUAAAAAACGGAGUAACGCCUUAAGAAAGAUGACAUGAUGUAGAGGAAUUAACUCAAACAAUAUGAUGAAAACCCCAUCUUUUUAUCCUCGAUGGCAACAAUACAAUAUGUGUCGGUUCCCCUGUCACUAGGAUCGAGCACCGCAAUAUUGAACCCAAAGCUAAGCACUUCUCUCAUUGCAAGAAAAACGAAUCUAGUUGGCCAAACCAAAUCAAUAGUUCGAAGAGACUUGCAGAGAUAUCAAAUCAUGCAUAUAAGAAUUCAGAGGAGAUUCAAAUAAUAUUCAUAGAUAAGCUGAUCAUAAAUCCACAAUUCAUAGGAUCUCGGCAAACACACCGCAAAAGAGUAUUACAUCGAAUAGAUCUCCAAGAAUAUCGAGGAGAACUUUGUAUUGAGAAUCAAAGAGAGAGAGAGAAGAAGCCAUCUAGCUACUAGCUAUGCACCCGUAGGUCUGAGGUAAACUACUCACGCUUCAUCGGAGAGGCAGUGGUGGUGAUGCAGGAUGCCGGAAAAGGCCCCAAGAUGGGAUCUCGCAGGUACAGAAGGUUGCGGCGGUGGAAAAGUGGUUUCGUGGCUCCCCUGGAAGUUUUUGGGGUAUAAGAGUAUAUAUAUAGGAGGAAGACCUAGGUCAGGAGGCCACCGAGGGGCCCACAAGGUUGGGGGCGCACCCUCCACCCUUGUGGCCGCCUCGUGGCUCUUCUGACUUGCACUCCAAGUCUCCUGGGUGUUUUCUGGUCCAAGAAAAAUCAUCGCGAAAGUUUUAUUCCGUUUCUGCGAAACUCUAAAACAAGGAAAAAACUGAAACUGGCACUGGGCUCUAGGUUAAUAGGUUAGUCCCAGAAAUCAUAUAAAAUAGCAUAUUAAUGCAUAUAAAACAUCCAAAAUAGAUAAUAUAAUAGCAUGGAACAAUCAAAAAUUAUAGAUACGUUCGAGACAUAUCAGGGGGCGCCCCUAGCACACCCCAGACAAUUGUCUAGCCGUGUGCGGCGCCCCCCUCCACCGUUUACACCCUCAGUCAUAUUUUCAUAGUGCUUAGGCCAAGCCCUGCGAGGAUCACUUCACCAUCACCGUCACCAUGCCGUCGUGCUGACGGAACUCAUCUACUACCUCAACGUCUUGUUGGAUCAAUAAGGCGAGGGACGUCAUCGAGCUGAACGUGUGCAGAACGCGGAGGUGCCGUGCGUUUGGUACUUGAUCGGUUGAAGCGCGAAGAAGUUCGACUACAUCAACCGCGUUGAGAUACGCUUCCGCUUACGGUCUACGAGGGUAUGUAGACACACUCUCCCCCUCGUUGCUAUGCAUCUCCAUGGAUAGAACAUUGCGUGUGCGUAGAAAAAUUUUGGUUUUCCAUGCAACAAUUCCCAGCAGCUAUAAAAUGGUCAUCUCCAUAAUUAAGGUCGUGAGACCGGAACAAUGCAUUAGGUCCUGUGGAUCAUCAUUAUCUUAUAUUGUCUUCGCUCCUCGUAGAUAUCUCCACCUGUCACCUGAAGGUCAUGAAUUCACUAAACAAUAUGUGUUACCUAUGUAGGUCUUCAGGUUGCAUGGGCACUUAAAUUAGACAACACGCAUUACUCUCACCACGGAUAAAAAACUUAGUAAAUAAUUAUAAACUAUAACGAUGAAUGAUGAUGUAUAGAAUAGGCAUAAAUGAAUCUUACCAAUCACCGACAUCUCCCGCGCCUAUGGGGAAUUACUCUUGCAUGGGAGAAAAAUAAUCAAACAUCACAGAGAUUAAAACAAGGGCAAUCAUCAAUAACAUCACGAAGAUCCACAAUAAGAUGAAUGACUAAACAAAUCUCAAUCUCAAGAUGAGUACAAAUAGAGUUAUCAACCUUAGUCUUACAAACUGGAACUCCUCUCCCUAUGGUGAUGUUGCGACGACAGGAAAUGAAGAUGGGUGAACGAGAAGGAAUGGACCUCUGGUAGUUCUUCUUCUCCGGAUCUCUUCUCCCUCUGUUCUGGAUGGUGUGGCGGCGGCUGUGUCUCUCUGAUGCAGUCUCUCCCUUCACGAAAGUUGGUCGUGUAGAUGAGGUAGAGUUGGCGGCAACUGGUAAUCAGUGCGCUCGUACCAAAGGUUGUUUGCGCUCUAGACACCGGUGAAGUUUCGCCCACAAGAAAAGUUGCUCUAUUUGGUUUUAUAUGAUAAAAUAUUGAUUGGUUUUCUUACAAAAAUAUAUAUUUGUGCACAUCAUGAAGGAAAGCCAAUUUUCUUCUUUCUCGAAGGAUUAGUGUUAGAAAGACCCGAAAGUAUUAAAAACUCUGUGAGAACCACAUCAAACCCCACUUAUAAAAGUGACAAAAUAUGGAGCCAUCAACUCCCCCAAGCUUAAGUCCUGCUCGUCCCAUGCAUUAAAAUAUCUAGUUUUACACGCCCGGUCUCCCCACCCAUUUCCAAUGCUGGAGACGCGUGAACGGACGAGACUAAAUGGCUCUGACCCGCAUUCAAACCGGCUCACGUCCGUAUGUCGGCAUUAAACAGGCGUGACGAACGAGAAACCUACUCCGGUGCCCGCAUUGACACAGUCCACCGCUUGUUCUGGUCGGCACCUGCUAUUUUAGCGGUGCCUCCUUGGCCAGCACGACUAGCACCGGACCACCUCCGUCGUGAGCAUUUGAGAGAUGUGGGAGAGGCUCGCAACGGAAUGGAAGCAGGAGUUGGUCGGCAUUGCGGCCGCCUGGUAGGCCUGUCGUGCUAACCGGAUAGAGGUUCUCUUGUCGGCGAGCUCGCCGGAGGGCAGCGACGGGGCAAAGACGACAGACUAGGUGUACGACGAUGAGCUGGUGCCACUGCCCUCGUUGGUCCAUGCCAGCAUCGCCUUGGAGGAGGCAAGGGCGCACUUCAACAUCGCAAUGGCGGAAGAGCUGCAUGCGUCGCCGGUGUUGGUGUUCUCGCAGGAGGACCAAAGUACAACCUGCGGCUCCUCGACGAGCACCGGCUCAUGAAGGGGCAAAUCAUCGAUGAGCAGGCGAACGACCAUGUCGUCACGGCAAUGGUUACAGAGGAUCAAGACUUUCUGGAUGAGCAGCGGGUGAUGUAUCAGUCUCUGCGCACCGCCCGCGAGAUCCGCCACGAGCUAUAGCGAUCGCGCAUCCUGCGGAAGGAGAGGGACGUCUGUCCGCAAAGACCGCACAGAGGUGGCCGAAGUGGAGGUGCAGGCGAUCGCAGGCAGCACCGGUCGCGCCGCCAUCGCGGUUCGUGCCACACCGCCGUGACCACGAGGCCGGCGUCCACGUCUGGCAUGGUCGACAGGGCGCACUCCGGCGAGGAAGAGCAGCACACGGGACGCCCGCCACGGCUAUUCUUCCCCUCCCGUUGAUGCACCGUCGGCGAGCUUGCCACACAUAGAGAAGACGAGAUGUGUGACACGGACUCCGCCACGAUUGGCGAUUAUUUAGAUUAGGUUAAAAGACUAUCCCCUGCUUUUGUUUAUUUGACAUGUAUGAAAAACGUAAUGAGUUUGAUCUGUUUAAAUGAAAUCAUCUAAUUAAACCCAUUAAGCUAUGCCACGUGGCGCAAGCUGGUUGGCCGCGGUGAAAAAGCUUUUAGAAUAUUAUUUUUAGAUGAAGGUGAGGAAUUUUUUAAAAUGUUUUUUUUACAUGGAGGUGAUGAUCCCAUAUAUUUUUUUAAAUAGACGGCUACGCAAAGUGGUGCUUGCUGGUAGGCCGUGUUUGUGAUUUUUUUUUCUUUUUUACCUCUUUUUCUAGAUGGAGAUGAGGAUUUUUUAAAAUAUUUUUUUAGAUGAAGGUGAUGACUACAUGUAUUUUUUAAAUGAAAACGUGUACACAACUUCCUCUCAAGCGGCGCCACCAGGUGGCGCCCCAAAUGCAUGAAAUUUGGUCAUUUUAUUCAAAUUCCUUUGAAAUGUAUGGACACGGUUGGAUAAGCCGGUUUUCGCAUCAGCGUCCGUGAACUGGUCUGGACCAAUAUGCAGAUAAAUACAUGGCCGCGUUGGAGAGACGGUGACUCUUAUCUUCCAUUUCGCCAAUGAACCAUACGUAUAAUACAAGCCACUAAUCCCAGCUCGUAUUUUUUACUGGUCUCAAGUAGGAUUUUAUGUAAUCCAGCUCAUGCCUUGUUCAUUCUAGUCAACCUCGGCCCCACCCUGUCCUCCACCAAGGGCCAAGGCUCACCCAACCCACUCCAUGGGGAUCUCCGUCGCCGUCCCCUCCCUCCUCCUCCUCCUCUCCGUCGCCCUCCUCCUGCCGCCGGCCGCCGCGCGAUUCUCCUUCACCUACAACUUCACCGCCACCUCGGACUCGGCCCCAUCGGGCAUCUCCUUCCAGGGCGACGCCUUCUUCAACAAGUUCAUCCGCCUCACCCGCGACGAGCGCGUCGGGCCCCUCACCAGCAGCGCCGGCCGGGCCUUCUUCUCCCGCCCCAUCCCACUCUUCGACCCCGUCUCCCGCCGCCCCGCCUCCUUCGCCUCCGCCUUCUCCUUCUCCAUCUCCGCCCCCGAACCCUCGGCCGCCUCCGGCGACGGCCUCGCCUUCUUCCUCUCCCCGUUCCCCUCCGUCAUCCCCAACAGAUCCGCUGGCGGCCUUCUCGGGCUCUUCAACUCCUCCGCCCGCAACGGGGGCCGCUCCCUCGUCGCCGUCGAAUUUGACACCUACAGGAACGAUUGGGACCCCAGCGACGACCACGUCGGCAUCGACCUCGGGGGCAUCGCCUCCGUGGCCACCGCCGACUGGCCAACCAGCAUGAAGGACGGCCGCACGGCGCACGCGCGCGUCGCGUACGACGCGGAGGCCAAGAACCUCACCGUGGCCCUCUCCUACGGCGACUUUGUCCCCACGGACGUCCUUCUGUGGUACGCCGUCGAUUUGAGGGAGCACCUGCCCGACGCCGUGGCCGUUGGCUUCUCCGCCGCCACCGGCGAGGCCGCCGAGCUGCACAAGGUCCUGUACUGGGAUUUCACCUCCAGCGUCGACAGCAAGGAGCAGACGGUGGUGCUGUGGGUGGUACUGGGAUUGUGCGGAUUCCUUGUUGUGCUGGUCGGUGCAGGGAUUGUUUGGUUCGUGAAGGAAUGGAGGAAGACAGGAGAGUGUGUCCCCUACGUCGAUAUCGACGACGCAAUGGGGUACGACGAGCUAACUGACGAGUUCAUCGUGCAGAGCGGGCCAAGACGGUUCCGUUAUGCUGAAUUGGUGGCGGCAACCAAUAAUUUCUCCGAGCAGAGGAAGCUCGGGCAGGGCGGGUUCGGUGCUGUUUACCGGGGAUUCUUGAAGGAGCUUGGUCAGGAGGUGGCCAUCAAGAGGGUCUCCAAGGGGUCGACCCAGGGCCGCAAGGAGUAUGCAGCCGAGGUACGCAUCAUCAGCCAGCUGCGCCACCGGCAUUUGGUCCGGCUUGUCGGGUGGUGCCAUGAACACCGUGGUGACUUCUUGCUCGUCUAUGAGCUCAUGCCCAAUGGCAGCGUCGACCAGCACCUCUACGGCAAGGGCGUGCACCUCACCUGGCCGACACGGUAUGACAUUGCACUGGGCCUCGCGUCGGCAUUGCUCUACCUCCACGAGGAGUGCCUUCAGUGCAUCGUGCACCGCGACAUCAAGCCGAGCAAUGUGAUGCUGGAUGCCACCUUCAGUGCCAAGCUCGGCGACUUUGGCCUUGCCAAGCUCGUUGAGCAUGGCAGCCAGCCCUACACCACCGUCCUGGCUGGCACGCUGGGCUACUUGGCGCCAGAGUGCCUGACGACAGGCAAGUCAAGCCGAGAGUCGGACGUGUACAGCUUCGGCGUCGUGGCACUGGAAAUUGCUUGUGGACGACAGCCAUCGGAGCCCACGGCGGAGCCGAGCAAGGCGAGGCUGGUGCCGUGGGUCUGGGAGCUUUAUGGGAAGAAAGCCCUUCUCGAAGCGGCGGACUGGAGGUUGAAGGUGGAGUUCGAUGAGAAGCAGAUGGAGCAUCUGAUGGUGGUUGGACUAUGGUGCGCUCAUCCUGACUACACGCAUAGGCCAAGCAUCAGGCAGGCCCUGAAUGCCCUGAAAUUUGAGGCGGCAUUGCCUGUGCUGGCGCCGAAGAUGCCGGUGCCGACGUUCUUCCCUUUGCCUGACUUGGCUGCUCUGGUAUCAUCAGUUGGAGGUGCGUCCGACACGCAGAACCCAGGCGGCGUUACUGAGUGUGAGUCAUCAGGGGCUAAUGCUGGCAAAGGAUCUUCGGUGAGGGAUAGACUUCUGGAGCCGUGAAAGUGGUGGGUUUUGUGAAGCUGCUUUCACGAUGAUUUUGUUUGUUUCGUCUUGUGCUGCAACAUGGAGGUGUGAUUGAUUGUACAAUUAUAUUUGUAUGAGUUGAGUUUGGUUUGUAUAGCAGGGAAAUGUGUUGGAUUAUAUCGGUCAAAAGGACCGAACAAGAAGAAAUAUCCCAAGGCAGUUUGGGGUAUUAGGGUGAGUCAGGUGUUAAAGCUGAUAGAUUGCUUAUAACUUGAAUGUCACUCGUGUGAGAUGAUAGCCGAUACGAGCAAACCAGAUGUCAGAAGGCCAGACGCAAUGGCAAACCAACGGGACUAGAACACCGCUCAAACCUUUUAUCAUAUACAACCACACUGAACAGAUGCAUGUAAGCCGCAAGUAGAUUAGAAUGUGCUGAGAAAACUUGUACAAAUAUAAGUUAGCUAACGAUACUUUGCUUUGUUAUAUCUUCAUAAUAGUCAAACGACACCAUUGCAGCCAAUUGAAAGUUAACCUGAGGGUCCCUCCCUACUUGCAGUGCCAAAAGAAUUGGAUGGUCUAACAACCACAAUGACACCUUCCAACUACAAAAUCUCAACACCUGUACAAACUAAAAGCACUAGGCCCCUAUAGAAAUGCUAUUUGAUACCUCCCCUGAGAAAUAUUUAUCUAUCACUGCCCCUAUUACACCAUUCCAUGAGCAAAAUUGUGUUCCAUCUCAGGAGGUGAUGCUAAACCAUAAACAAAUAAUUCAAGUCGUCCACUGUCAGUCGAGUCUGACCGCCACCAGAUUUAUCUUCCCCAAAAGCUGAAGCAACCAUCUCCCGCUUUUUCUCCUG
This 71888-nucleotide long non-coding RNA is filed under the name Triticum aestivum (bread wheat). RNAcentral describes it as "long non-coding RNA (TAES_LNC000465)". The record is from RNAcentral. Lineage: Eukaryota; Viridiplantae; Streptophyta; Magnoliopsida; Poales; Poaceae.